GAGUUUUUGCAGAUUUUCAAAUAAAACUCAAAGAUUCCUUGUAUGACUCUCUAAAUCUCUCUUUUGUGGUAUUUCUGGAUCUUUACCAAGGCAGUGAUGGUAUAUGCCUUCUCUCAAGAUAUAUGGUAUUUGUGGUAUAAGGCAUAGUGACAUUGCCUUCUCUCUCACCCUACUCUAAUAAGGCUUUAAUAUCUGGAGCUCAUAGGUGGGAGACAGCUAAUACAUACUUACAAGACAUUUAUUGCAUAGUCAAACCAUGGAUUCAAAGAAACAAAUCAAUAAGCCAAAUCAAGAUGUGCAUGUGUGGCGAAUGAAUGGUGUAUGGUGAUGAUGGUGAUAACAAUGGUGGUGGAAGUCUAAUUCUACUUUGCUCUUUGAGGGGAUACCUACCUUCCUUGCUUUUGAAACCUUAUGAGGAGAAUGAGAUGCUCUAUAUUUUCUUUUUCUUUCCUCUCAGGUGGGUAUCUUGUACCCCUAAUUCUACUGUCGGACACUUGUCCAUUUUUACCUCUCGUCUCACUCUCUCUUUUUUUUCUUUCGAGGUUCCGAGCACUUGCCCCUUUUUAUUUCCUCAUUUAUUAUUUUUUUUCUCUUUUUUUUAGAGCACUCAUCUCUUGAGAUAAUAUAGCAAGUGGUAGUAGCAAGAUAACUUGAGCAUUUAUUUCACAAGGGAAAAUAGAAAUAUUUUUGGCUAUUCUCUCCCGGAUUAGGAGUAGAAUAUUUUUGGGUGGUUCUGGAGAUGGAUAUAUGUGGAUGGUACUUCCGGAGUAAAGUAGCAUAUAUGAGUGAACGUGCAAGUGAAUCCUGAUUUAACCACAUGACAAGCUCCUACGGGUCUACACAGCUUGACCACACUCAAUGCUCAUAAGCAGUAAAUAAUAAAUGUGUGGCUCAAAGUCUAGCAAGCAUGUAUAUAUGGCUGUGGUAGGAAUUUAAACUUUCAUCAUACAGGAACUCAUCAUGCAAUAUUUUAAAGAUUUUUUCAAAGAUAAAAUUCUCCAGAAUUCUAGCAUCUCUAGGAACAGAUAAAUAGCAGCUCAACCUUCCCAUAUCAUAUCCAUUAACAACUUAGAUUUCAGAUCAAGGUUUCAUCCCACAAGUUUAGAUCUAGAGCAAGCUUUAAAUUAUAACAGUUAUGUCUAAACUUGAGAGAGAACUUCAAAUUUGCAAAUUAGGCAGAGCAACUAUUCAUCAUAUCCAUGCUAGAGUUUUAUUAUUAAGAUUCAGAUUAGCAUAGCCACUUUAUUUAUUUAUUAAACAUACUAAGCAAAAGAUAUAUAUAAAAGCACGAAAUCUUUAAUUGGUUUUUUAUAGUUUAUGUAUUUUAAUAUUCUAAUAUAAUAUAAGUAUAAAGAUAGGUAGAAAUACUUAGCGAGAUAAAUGGGGGUGCUCUCCCCCAAGCUGAAUUUUGACGUAAUUUCUCUUGAUGUAGCUAGCAGGUGGCAGAGGUGUAUUUGAAAGUCAGCAGCAUUCUGACAGCAAUUAGAAUGUCCUCCGUCUGCUAGUCUUCUUAAAUUCUGUGGAGCUCAAAUAGACAACAAAGCUUGUGGAACUAAUUAAGUGUUAGCAUAAAUAUCUAGCCUUCAUCAUGUUGAGCUUCCUCAAUAAAUAUUACUCCCUGUUUUUAUAUUUUUAUUUUAUGAAGCAGAAAAGAAAUAUUUAUUUUAUUUUUAUGCCACCACAGUGAAGGUACUUAUGGGUUUUAUGCCACGCGUAUACUCACAUGGGGCUUAGUAUUUUUUAACAUUUUUAUUUUAUUUUCAAGAUAGCAUGAUUAACUAAUAAUCUAUUUAAGGAAAGUAAAUAAUUAAAGGGAAAAGGGAAUGCAGAAAGGAUAAAUAUGGAUAACUACCGAUCUUACCUUUCGGCGAUGGUUCAAUGUUUUAAGUCUUCUUAACAAGACUUCUCACCGUAUUCAUUCUUUAGGUGCGUCAUUUGAUUCAGGUGCGGACCUUGACGUCUGCACCUCUUGAUACGGUGUCACCCAUGUUCUUCGUUUGCCCAGCAGUUCGAAGUGCGGCGUUGGCAGUAACCUGCUCAGUGUGUUUGUGCUCGUAGAUCCAGGUCCUUCACUUGGUAGAGUCUGAGAGUUAUAAAACUCCUCCGUGUUUUGCUCAAAGUGUACCUGCUCAUAGAGACAAGGCAUAGAUCAAGUGCAUGGGUCCUGUUGGUGGAAAACACCAACAGAACCUAAAGUGUAUUUGUUCUUCUCUAACCCUAAGCAUAGUGAGCAAGACAAAGUUGAUGGAUGAAAAGUUCAUGAGUGUAGCACUUAUAACAUUUGUCAGAUCAGAUCGCUCAACCUUAUGGAAAGAUAAUCUAUCUAUGUAUAUGUCUUUUUCUUUAUAUCUCUCAAUGAUUGAAUGUGUAACAUUUUAGCUCAUAUGAUUAGGAGUGUGGGAUCAUGGAGGUAGUACUAAGAACAAGGAUUAAAGGACUAAAUAUGUUGAAUCAGUUGGGUUGGUUAAUCUAGAGUUGUAAAUCAUACAUGUUUGUCUCUUUUAUUUAUAUGAACGCCAGAACUAAGGAGAAGCUUAUAAAAGUGAUAGUCAAGUACCUUAAGAUGUUACCUUGCUUGAAGAGUGAUGGUAUAGUAUCACCUUGUGGAAGCUUUUCUUUCUUAGCGGUUGUGCAUCGUGUUUGUGGCACCCUCCAUGGAUCAUCUCUCUAUGAUGAAUGAGCUAUGUCCUUCUUAUGCAAAUUGUUAAACUUCAUGUGUCACUCUCUUCGUCUCUGAUGUGAGUUUAUAUCAGGACUUCCCAAAUCGAUAUUGAAAGUUUUUCUGCAGGGGUUAGUCCGACAAAAUAUACCAAUGUCUACACAAGCAGUUUUUAGUUCAAUAACCGAACUAGACUCCAUGUCUAAUCAGAUUAAGGAAGGCUGUUUAACCUAAGCACCAUGCUUAAUUUAAAAGCCAAUAGAAGUAUGUGCAGUACUUCCAAACUAACACUUACUAGUAAAUAGACAAAGGUAGCAUGACAGCAUUUAUAGAGAUCAACUCAAGUGGAGAUGAAGUAGUGUGAUUAGUAUUUAACAAAUUGAGCAUGUCUUAAAGGUAGGGACAACCAAUAUAGCAACAUGGCAAAGGAUGUUUUUAUGUAAAGUACUCCCCCAAGCUUGAAUUUUGCAGAAUUCAAGUUUGGAUGAAUUUAAUUCAAUGUUGUAUGAUGAUUGGUUGGACAUACCAUGUGCUUGUCAUUCAUCCGAUCUUCUUGCUCCAAUCCUGUAAAGGUUAGUGACAAGAAUACCCGAAGGAAUAUUUUUACAAUUAUCCUUAUAUGCUCAAUACAUAAGGUAAUGUUGCAAAUAAUUAAAAACUCAUGUUACGAUCUGAUCAGUGUUUAUUUUAGGACACUAAGCUUGUCCUUGGGAAACCAUCAAUUUAUGUCGGCGAAGUGGUUUCCCUUCCAACGCUGACCUAAAUCAAGAUCAACUCAACGAGAUCUGCAAUAUUUAUUAUAGACAUAUGCAUCGACAACCGCCCUUUUAAAUUUUUUAUAAAUAGAAAGGAAGAAGGGGUUGGAGAUCUCAAAUGUGGUGAUGUUGGAGAGACCAAAAGAUUGGGAAGAUGUUGCAUAUGAGCAUGGAGUAAACAAAGUGGCUAUUAAAUAAAUUUCAUGCUCAUUAAUGUUAUCUUCGUCUCCAAUAUAAAUGUUUAGAGUUCCUCUUGGAUUGGUCUCACUUAUGUGCUCUUCUAUAGUUGGAUGAAUCCCAUCUUCAAAGGGAGUCAAGAACUCACCAUUUGAAAUUGAACCAAAGUCAGAAUUCAUUAAGGCUUCUUCCAUAUCCAUCCAUUCUACACAUUCUAGCCAUUUAGAACUUGUGAUCAGGAAAGGGGAGGUGUUAGAAUUUUCAAUAUGGCUUAGCUCUCCUUUACUUGAUGUGUCAUCCUCGACUUCUUCAUAACAGGAACCAGGACAUUCUCUAAGAGAACCAUUAUUGCGAGGAUUUGAAUUAUCCCUGCUUGAAGGUCUCUUAUGGAACCAGAAGUCUAAACCAUUAGCAUCUGAAAGAUUUAUGGUCGGAAUUCCUUCCUCCCUUGGAGAAUUUUGGGGUACUGAUGGUUUAGGAUCGAUAGCUAAAGUUUGGAAUCGAAGUGGUUGUGAUCUGGCUAUCAAAACUUCUUCUUCUUGUCUAGGAACUGGUUCUGUCUCUUUCUCAGGGAUAUAAAAGCUAGGAGACUUUCCACUUAAUAAAUCAAUCAAAUUCCAAGCCUCACUAGCACGUAGGUGAUAGAAGGAUCCUCUAGAGGCUGUAUUCAAGGUUUGCUUAUUUUCCCCACUAAGGCCCUCAAAAAAGUGAAUUAGAAGAACUUCUUCUGGAAUAGAAAGCUUUGGGCCAGUGAGAGUAAGGUUAAUAAAGCGGUCCCAUGAUUUGCUAAUAGAUUCUUCUUCCAGUUGUCUGAAAGAAAUAAUCUCACGCCGAAGUUCUGCCACUUUAGAGAUUGGAAAAUAUUUUAAAAGAAAACUAUUAUGUAACUCCUUCCAAUCUCCAUGAACACUCCCUACUUUGAGUUUGUACCAAUGUCUAGCUUUUCCCGUUAAAGAGAAUGGAAAGAGCUUCCAUUUAAGUGUCUCAUCGGACAUUCCUUCUAUGCGAAGGAGGUCACAGACUCGAUAAAACUCUCUUAGGUGGGUGUAUGGGUUUUCCUCACUUUCUCCUGAGAAAGGUUGUUUUUGAACAAAUUCUAUGUAUUCGGGGUCUAUCUCAAAACUAGAUGCUAUGAUAGGCUUUGAAGAUUUUGGUGGUUCGAGAUGUGUGCCCGUAGGUCUAUGAAAUUCAUAGAUAGACAUGUUUGAAUUCAUGAUAGACCAGAGAUCAAGGAUUAGAUAAGAAGAAAGAUGAGCAGAGAUGAGGCAAAGGAUAAAAGGAAAAUAUAUAUUUUUUUUAUUUUUUUUAGAAAAUGAUUAAGCUAGUUCGUAGUCCACUCAGCAACCGUUUCCCUAGCAACGGCGCCAAAAAUGCUUGUUGACACUUGCUAACACCACUUGAAUACUAGGUUGUCAUCCCCAGUAUGGCACUAGAGUGUACUAUGGUAUUUAUACGCACACAGAUAAUCCGCAAGCGCACGGAUACCGUUAUAGCUUUUACCCGGUUAAAGGUUUUAUCGUAUCCACAGGGAAACGGGAGAACCAACUACGCUCUAACUCAACCAGGAUAGAUAGGUAAGUGUAAAUAGGAAAGAUGGUAGAAUCGAAUAAGAACAAUAUUAAAGGUAAGAUAACAGUGAGUGAUAAUAUGGGAAUAGAGAAUAGAGCAAUUCUAGUAUAUGGGCGAUGGUAGCAGAAUAGAGAGGAUAACUAUGGUUUCUCUACUUCAAAGGGGUAUGUCUAUGUCUGGGACGAACCACGUGAUAAGGGUACACCACAAAGGAUGCUUAUCCUUAGGCCGAUAAACCCUACCCAUCCUACUAACGAGAGGUGGACUACAGAGGACCAACGUAACUGUCACCUACGCGGCCUACCACACGAUCCAGCUAGACAGGGGAUAUCCACAAGUAAUCUAGGUCUAAGCAUCACACUUACACCAAUACUACAACUCUCACCUAUAGCGUCCUAUAGAUUAAAGUACUCAAAAGAGUUGUGAACCAGAACAUACAUAAUUAGUAAUUGCAUAAUGAAUUAGAAGUAGAUUACCAGAGUCAUCCCAUGAGCAAGCUUGAUUAGAGCUUGAUCAUGACGAAGUACAACCGGAGGAAGAACCGACAGGCCGGCCUCUCCUCUAAUCCUCCUUCGCUCUCCAUCUUGCUACUAUCUAGAUCUACUCUAGUUUAGAGAAGAGAGGAGAGCUCUCAUCUCUAAACCCUAGCUUUUGCUCUGUCUAUGAAUAAUGAAUAAUGAUCAAGGGGUGCCUCCUCCAGGGGCCAGAGGGUCUGGUUAUAUAGUCCCCUCAAGUGAACCCGAGCCGUCGGAUCAAACCGACAUUGAUUGAACGGUUAUUCUUGAUCCUUUAGGUCGGUGGAGAUCUCCCGAGAGAAAGAGUCCUGAUUGGGCUCCAAGUCAGGGCGGGCGCCUAGGGCAGGAGGGCGGGCGCCCUGCCUCUGGCCCCGUUCGGCCUCCGCUUCCUUCCCGUGGCUUCUGGAGUCUUCUAGAUGUAAGAUAAUUGCGCGGCACGUUAAUAUCUCUAUGUAAUCCCGACGUGUUGGCCUUUCUUCCUUAUUUCCUGAUAACCCCCUGCAGAAAUAGACAAACAACAAAACUCGUGGAAUUCUGUCAGAUAAAACCCUAAGUUUAGAUGUUGAUUUCAUUUGGAUCCUUUUCUUUGUUUAUUUGAUAAUUAAAUUUGAUACUUAAGGACCGUCAACAGUAAUCAAUAGUGAUGAUUGUUAAUCCCUUCCCAGUGGUAAAAAUAUAAAUAACGAUACCUAGAAUACUUCCCGGUUAAAAUGCUACAUCGGUAUUAAUCUGUGCGCUUGCAGAUCCCAUUCCUUAUUUAUUUAGAAGAGCAAUUGCAUAUUUCAAUACCGCGUCUCUCAUGUCAUGCUGGGGAUGACAACUUGGCUUAAGUAGUAUGAGGGAUAGGUUUGGCAUUUUUGGCACCGUUACUAGAAUUAGAAAACUUAGUCUACUUUUGGUAAUGAUGUUAAGAAUACCCAACAUGUACUAAUUAAGAUUCAAGAUCCCCCAAAGAUAACUAUAUAAUUAUUUUUGGUGGGAAGAUAGGAAGUUUCCUCAGAGUUCUCUAGCUGAUCUAAGAAUCAAGAAUUACUUCAAGAUUAUUUAUUUUGGGACAUCAGAACACUAACCAGAGAAAGAGAUGAGAAGGGGGUUAGGAGCUCUGACUACCGUCCUACAAACACCGAUCCGAACGAGGUGGGAUAUGUCGACCGUUAGGGCUGUCUCUACCCUAAGGCUACCACAACAAUCCAUAGGGUUGGGUGCAAUUCUAGGUAAUUGCAAGACUAAACACCACGUCUAAUCUAUUAAUUACUACUCUAGCGUUAUAAACACUAGAGCACUUGAUGCAAGUGGGAAUCGAGUAAAUAACUUGAAUGUAAAUAAAAGUAAUUAAAGAACUCAGGAAUUAUGAAUUGAAGAACUUGGAGAACGAUGAAGAACGAACCAGUUGCAACAAAAGUAUAAUGUUGAGGGAAAUCUGACAGAUCUGGCUCCUCCUCCGCUCUCCUCUUCUCUCUCCCUAUUUUCUAGAUUACAACUAGAACUAACUAGAACUAGAACUAGAUGAACUAGAACUAGAUGAACUAGACGGAUCCUCACUACUUGGAUGAAUAAUUGAAACCCUAACUUUGUUUCUGUAGAAGAGAUAUGCUCUCCAGGGGCUAGGGGGUCUGCUUAUAUAGUCUUUCCAAAUGAAUGUGGGCCGUCGGAUCAAACCGACAUUAAUCGCACGGUUUUCCUUGAUCCCUAAGGUCGGUGGAGCAUGAUCCACGAAGUUGACCCUGAUUGGGCACUACAAGAGGGCGGGCGCCCUGGGCCAGGCCCCGUACUGCCUCCGCUUCGUUCCCAUGGCUUCUAGAGUCUUCUAGAUGAUAGAAAAUUGCCGCACACGUUAAUAUCUCUAUGUAAACCCGACGUGUGGGCCUUUCCUCCAUAUUUCCUGAUAACCCCCUGCAGAAACAGACAAACACCAAAACUCGUGGAAUUCUGUCAGAUAAAACCCUAAGUCUGGGUUUUGGUUGCAUUUGGAUCCUUUUCCAUGAUUAGUUGACGGUUAAAUGUGAUCAUUAAGGACCGUCAACAGUUGCAUUUGGAUCCUUUUCUUUGUUUAUUUGAUAAUUAAAUUUGGUAUUUAAGGACCGUCAACAACUCCACCAAGCUUACCUCUUGCUUGUCCCUGAGCAAGGAUGGACUCAAGAGUUUCUGCAGUGGUUUCAUGCCUUAAAGGUACACAUGUGUUCAAAUAAGAUCUCAUCUCUGGGUUAGGGUAAACUGUUAAAACUUAAAACUUACUCAUUUUACCUUCCACCAUGGGGCUUGCAACCGUCACUUGUGUCUUGAGCAGUUAAAAGAUAGAACGGUCUAGUCAAGUGCCAUGUCACUUGUGUCUGGAGUUUUUGUAGAUUUUCAAAUAAAACUAAGAGAUUCCUUGUAUGACUCUCUCAAUUCUCUCUUUUGUGGUAUUUCUGGAUCCUCACCAAGGCAGUGAUGAUAUAUGCCUUCUCUCAAAGUAUGUAGUAUUUGUGGUAUGAGGCAUAGUGACAUUGCCUUCUCUCUCAUCCUACUCUAAUAAGGCUUUGAUAUCUGGAGCUCAUAGGUGGGAGACAGCUAAUACAUACUUACAAGACAUUUAUUGCAUAGUCAAACCAUGGAUCUAGAAGAACAAGUCAAUAAGUCAAAUCAAGAUGUGCUUGUGUGGUGAAUGAAUGGUGUAUGGUGAUGAUGGUGAAAACAAUGGUGAAAGUCUAAUUCUACUUUUGCUCUUUUGAGGGGAUACAUACCUUUCUUGCACUUUGAAGCUUUUUGAGGAGAAUGAGAUGCUCUAUAUUUCCUUUUUCUUUUCUCUCAGGUGGGUAUCUUGUACCCCUAAGAGGUGGCAGAGGCAGUUGCAGCAGCGGCUGGGGCAGCUGAGACGGGUGGACGUUCCGGCCCUGAGGAUUGGGGUCGAUCUCACGCCACGUCAGAGGCAUGCAGUUCUUGAGGCAGAGGCUCUACAUGGAUCUCCUCCUGGCACUAUCAUUCCAGGAGGUUAGCGUGUCAGGAUUGCAGUCCGCGACCCAGCUCAGGAGGACCCGGACACAGAGACAGAGGCAGAGGCCCAGGCAGAGGGUCCGACAGAGGCACCGCAGCAGGAGCAGCCCCUUAGGAGGUCGACUCGCGCUCGUACUCAGGCCAUCCCUCGGACUGGUACGCAGGGUCAGUCUACCUCCGCUGCUCGCUCUACUCUAGCUCGAGGCACUCCAGCUCCUCGUCAUGCACCAGUGAGGAUACACAGGGACUACACCCAGGUUUUAGCUCGAGAGAUCCAGCAACUACAUUUUGUUCCCUUUCCCACUUGGUUUCCAACUACUAGGGAUCCGAGAGCCAGUGCCAGGUUCUAUACAGUGGUUCAGGAGGACAUCUAUGAGGCUCUCGUUCGCUCACAGGCUCAGUUCAGGGAGCACAAGGUGCUUGAUCUUGAGAUUCUAGGGAACGUGGUCGGUGCGGACAUCAGGCAGUACUUCACCUAUCUACACGGUCUCCUAUAGUUGCUCGCCUUGCCUGGUACUUAUUGUGAGGAGUGGGUCAGAGAGUUCUAUGCCUCAGUGUGGGUUUCACCUGAUCACAGCUAUAUCCAUUAUGCAUUGGCAGGAACAACCUAUAGGGUGAUAGCUCAGAGUGCUAGAGAGGUCCUUGGUUUGAGAGCCUACCCCACCAGGAUUCACCAGCUGUGCUACGAAAACUUCGAGCCCCCUCGAGGUCCUCACGGUGGUGAGAUACCACCGGUUGACUUUGUGGCUCCCUGUUUCCUUCAGCCUUUUGGAGAGGGCUCUAGCAGGACAGUGGGAGAUUUGACUCACCCAGCUAGGAUCCUCAACUUUGUGUUGAGGAAGACGCUCUUUCCCAGGAUAGGCUACAAGGACGGCUUCACCAGGAUCCAGCAGUGGUUGGUAGCCCACCUCAUCUCGAAGACUCCUUUUGACUUGUGGGAUAUGAUAGUCUCAGUGAUUGAGGAUACUAUUUCAGAGAGCUUCAGGGGUCGGCGUCAGGUGCUGUACGCACACUGGAUCACCUUGCUCAUCCUUCGUGCUAGGCCCGUACCUCUUCCAGCUCACCUGCAAAGAGAAUUGUCAGACUCAGACAUGGUGUUCCCCCACUAUGACCCCAGGCAGAUGCUGAGAGCAGACUAUGACCUUCGAGCUCCGCCACCUCCUCCAGCAGCACGUGGCCAGGUGCCACCACCCUCUCCUAGAGGUAGUCGCAGUUCAGGAAUAGUUCUAGAGACUGAGGAGGAGUAGGACAUAGCUAUUGGGGCACCGAUGCGGAGGCCGAGGAGGAGGUUGACUUCGCUUUAGACAGCUCAGACGAUGAUUAUCAUCUCCCAGUACCAGACCUUCCUCCUAGGCCGCACGACCACGAGGCAGGAGGCUCCUCGAGUGCGUCAGACCCUGCUCUACUUGCUAUACUAGAGGGGAUGAGAGCCGAUCAGCGGCGGGCAGCUGAGGAGCAGGCGAGGAGAGACAGGGAUGAGGCUGCCAUCAAUGCAGCCAUGCAGGCAAGGCAGGACGAGCUUCAGAGACAGCUUUUGACCUUUCAAGAGCAGCAGCUUGCAUUCCAGGCUCAGCAGAUAGCGAUGAUGGCCGCUCUUAUGGCCGCCUCAGGGAUUCAGCUUCCACAGUUUCAGCACCCAGGUACUUCGUCUGUCAGGCCUCCUACCCCAGCACCUCAGAGUCAGUCUCAGCAGCCGCUUCAGCUCCUCGCUCAGAAUCAGCUGUUCUCGACGCCACAGCACCAGGUUUCCCAGGGUGCUAUCUCGUCUGGCUUUGAGCAGGUACCACAGUUUACGCCUCUACGCUCUGGUUUCACACCUUAGUCAGCGACAGCGUCACAGCUCGUGUUGGACUCGUCGGCGGGCCAGCACAUCAGUUUCUCGUACAGUGCUCUGACUGGUGACCCUACGCCUCCACCCCUAUAGGCUCCUGCAGCUUUUACGGUCCCAGUUACCACCACAGAGCGCCUGUCAUCGUCGGUAGCUUUAUCUGAGCCGCUUGCACCUUCGUCUACUGUACCCGAGAUGUCAGCUACAGCGACCGAGUCCGUGCCAACCUCGUCAGUAGGACUUGAGCAGCCCACAUAGCCUGUGACAGCUUCAGCGCCUACAGAGCUAACCCAGACCGCUUCACUAGCACGUGCAGCUUCAGAGGGACUCCACUGCUCCGCCUCCAUCUCUGUCUUCUUAGGUUUUUGGUGCUUGAUGCCAAAGGGGGAGAGAGUUGUGAGUAUGAGAGUUAGGGGGAGCUAGAGCUAGAGAGCUAGAGAGGGCUUUAUUCUUUUGAUACUCUUUUGUGUGCUACUCCACCAUGCAUCAUGUUUAUGUUUAUGCAUUGCAUUUGUGUGAGAUACUUUCAUGCUUGUGACAUACACUUUGGUUGUGAGUCAUGACCUUAUGCUUAUUUGUGACAUCUUUAUGUCAUGCUUUUGGCUCAUAUUGCUUUGCUUCCGUGUUUUUACUCCGAUGUACUAUGAGCCGUUUGUGUUUAUAUCCUGUUGUACACAUCUCACAUAUUUGGAUGCAGGAUGGUAGACUUGGUUGAUAUAACCAUCCCUAAUCCCGUUGCUCUUAUUGUAUCAUGCUUAUAGAAACCAAGUCAUUUGAAAACCUCAUUUCCUUUCAUACUCGAGGUUAUUGUCAUCAAUCACCAAAAAGGGAGAGAUUGAAAGAGCAUUUCGGUGAUUAGGGAUGGCCCCUAGUGAUUUCGGUGAUUAAUGACAUCGUUGAUUACUAUGACUAACGUAAGUUUUGCAGAGGCAAAGUCAUUAGUGAGGUCAUGGUAAUAGGUACUCGAUGAACAGGGACAUACAUGCCUUCUUAGUAGUGGAAAUCGUUUCGGUUUUCAAAGGAUGGAUGGACAUUGUCAAGACUAGACUAGGUCUAAGUGCGAUAUGGUGAAGAAGGGCACUUAGAGUAGUUUAGGACUUUGUUUUCCUUUGACCAUGCUAUUAAGAGGGUCUUUGAUCUAGUAGCUUGACUUAGGCAAGGCUUUAGGUUUAGGUGUGGUGCACACUUGGUAAACCUAGCACUAGGCAGCUCAGAGAUAGUCCUUAGAUCGAGAGGAACCAACUUCGUUUUGGAGCGAUCGUGUUUCGAUGAAGUUAGGGUGCCUAAGUAGGCACCGGACGCUGCACCGGACGCUCUGUGAGUGCGUCCGGUGAGGUCCUUAGCCAUUGGAGGGUUUCAGAGCUUAGGGUUAGGCACCAGACGCUGGCACCAGACUCACCGGGCAGCGUCCGGUCCCAUACCCAGGGAGGUUGCAAACCUGCCCCGAGCACCGGACGCUAGCACCGGACGCACCGGGUAGUGUCCGGUCUUAAACUCAGGGAGUUUGUAAAACUUCCCGGAGCACCAGACGGUGCCACCGGACUCUAGCAAGUAGCGUCCGGUGACCUGUCAUAUCAAGUACAGUUAGCCAUUGAAGUGUCACCGGACGCUCGGUGCAGAGCGUCCGAUGCAACAUCAACAGUGUCCGGUGACCCCAUUUUCAGUGGAAAACGGUUGGUUGACCUUUGGACUUCAUGGGGUGUAUUUAUACUCCUCCACCUCGUCCAUGAGAGCUCUCUUUGCCCAUUUGAACAUCAGAGAAACUUGUUUUGGAGCAAGAGAGUAGCAAGAGCCUAGAGAGGAUUGAGAUUUGAGUGAUUUUUUGAGAGAAUCCUUCUCUAGUUGAAUUCCAAGAGUCAAGUGUGCAUCCACCACUCUCUAGUGCCUCGUUUGGGUCAAGUGAGAGUUCUUUGCUUGUUACUCUUGGUGAUCGCAAUCACCUAGACGGUUUGGUGUUGAUUGGAGGCACGAAGACCACCCGGAGUUCUUGUUGGUGGCUCGUGUCAAGCUUGUGAGCGGUUUUGGGCGAUUCACCGCGACGAAGUGUCGAAGAAUCAGCCUAUAGAGAGCACUUGGUCCUCGCGCGGACCAAGGGGGAGCAAGACCCUUGCGCGGGUGCUCCAACGAGGACUAGUGGAGAGUGGCGACUCUCCGAUACCUCGGCAAAACAUCACCGAGCACUUUGUUCCACUACUACUUUACAUUCUAGCAUUUACUUUGUGUUUUUACAUUCAUAGAAUUGCCAUGCUAGAAUAGGAUUGGAACUAGGUUGCAAAACUUUUAUCUAGUAGCUCUCUAGUCACACUAGGCACAAGAGGUUGAAUUGGAGCUUAUAGGUUGCUUAAUUUUUUAGAGAAGCCCAAUUCACCCCCCCCCUCUUUGGCAUCUUGAUCCUUUCAGACCCUGGCACUAUGUGACUACGCCACCUCCUACUAGGCUCGAGGACUAAGUGGGCGCACUUCACCUUACGGUGAAUAUGCUUGCUUUUUUAUGGUCUAUACUUUUCAGAAAAGUAAAGUGGGCGCACUUCACCGGGAAAGAAAUCUUUUUGCUGAAGAGCACCAUGCAUUAUUCGAACAACCUACUUCUUCGGUGUCGACAUUGAUCAGCUGUCAACUAUUUAGGUGUUUUUCCGACUGGUCGGAGACAUCAAGCCUCACUGGUCGAAGAAGCUCAAGACGACGUGUUACAUCAUAAUACAUGGAGCUCGGGGACUAGUUGUGGGGGUAUAAACCCCUGUAUCCUCAUGGGUCGACAUGGGCCGCACCAUGAGAGGUGGCCCGGCCCACAAGAUGAAGACAUGUGGCGCAUGACGCUGGUCGGCUUGCACCGCAAGGCUACAAGAUAUUGUACCAUAUAGGAUACUUUACUUGUAACUCUGUCCCUUCAUGAUAUAUAAGGAGGGGCAGGAGUCCCCUAGUGGACAAGUCAUAAACAAUUCAACUCAUCCCAGAUCAAUACAAUCAGACGCAGGACAUAGGUAUUACACCCAUACGGCAGCCGAACCUGGAUAAAAACCUUGCCUGUGUCUUCCAUCACCAUCGAGUUCGUAGCUCGCGCACCUAUCUGAUGAUAAACUAGUACUGUGGGCAUACCCCAAGAUAGACUGCUGACUAGCAUUGGUUGAUAGUGUAGGACCUAGUGCAGCAGCCAAAAAUGGUGAUGGCGGACGAGGCUGCGGCUGCAAUGAGCAAGUACCCAGCCGAGCGCCGAGGAUGCUGUUGAUGCAAAAAUGGAUGUGCAAACACAAAGGGCUAAUACCCGAUUCAAACGUUGAGGCGUGCCAGCCGAUUUGACCUAGCAAUCGAUAAAGGUGAUAACUUGAAUACUUUGGUCCCAACAACAGCGAUGCGCCCGGAUGCCACGGCCAAGAGGUACUCACGUGGAACUUGAGAAUUCACCGAGUAUUACUUGAUGAAUCCUUAAGAACUCGUAAACAAAAGAAAAUAUGUGAGUUGACGAAGUUGACGAAAAGUAGUUGUAAAAAUAGAUGUAUAACUUGUGUAUAAUAUUGAUUGAUUGUCCUUCUUAUAUCGCUACUAGGCCCAUAUUUAUACUCUGUCCUAAAUAGUUACAAUCGUAUACGACUAGGAUUUAAUUCUAAACCAAACAGGACUCGUACAUAAAACAAACUCUAACAAAUAAGGAAAAUAACUAUCUAUCUAUCCUGGUAAUCAGCGUAUCACCGUUGUCUUCCUAGCGACGCCUACGCCUUCCUGCAUCGUCAUCAGCACACGCCCUGUAUCUCUUUUAACAAUUCCCAUACCUUUCCUCAUCGGCAUCGGCAAUCAGCAAUUGGCAAUGAUCAGCAACUACCGCCAGACUUAGCAACAUCUUCCUCCUGUUGUCCUGUCAUCGGCAUUAUUGGCUAUCGGCAAUCUCCUUAUCAGCCAGACAUAUCAUCUCUUUGACUGUUGUCAUCGGCAUUAUUGGCUAUCGGCAAUCUCCUUAUCAGCCAGACAUAUCAUCUCUUUGACUGUCGAUUCAAGCUUCACUGACUAUCCCAACUUGUGCCCAAAAACGGUGUCAACACAUGCCCCCCAAUUUUGGAGUAUGAAAUCAUUAAUGCACCAAAAUUCUCUCCUGAUAAUGACGACUUCUUCAUAAUUAUUUCCUUUUGGCAACAAUUAAUUACCAAAUCCAAACAACCUUAAUUCUAACUUGCAUAUCUCAAUAAAUAUCUCACAUCCCUUAACCAUCCGAAAACAAAUCUCAUAGAAACACGCUCAUCAGCAACUGUUCUAUUAGGGUUGACUGCAGAUGGACCAACCAAAAGAUCAUGUACAGUGGAAUAUCUCCUAAAAUGAUGAUUACUUGCUGUCAAAUCACAUAUACAAUCCCUUGAUUAUUGUGCUAACAGUUACCAUAUCCAUCUGAACAACCUCAAAUUUCACGGAUACGGCAAAGAGAUAAGUCAAAAAAUACCCCUGCUCAUUCCAACCUAUAAAUACUUCCUUCCCCAGUACUCAUCCUCUACCUUGUCAUUCCUCAUUCUCAAGUUCAUCUCCCCGACGGCGGCAUUGACGAAGAGCUCAAGAUCUUUAGCAGUGAAAAAUCUCUCCUAUGGCAAAGUCCUCCUAGAACCUUCAAAUCUUCGGUUCUUCCUUCUCUUUAGGAGGAAAUGGUCGUCAACUUCGUUGUUCCUGAGGUUUAAUCCAUUCCCAUCCUCUCUUUCUUUCACUGCAAUCUUUACUUUUUUGCAAUUUUAUUUACUUAGCAUUUUCUCCCCAUUUUUCCUGUUCUUUUGAUCUCCAAACUCCAGGAUCUAAGUGAGAAAAUUAUUAUUCCAACUGAACAACCCCACCUCCAAUGUCUCGGUCCAAUGGGUGAUCCAGACCCCACUGAUCUGAUCAACGCAGAAACAAAUAGGAUUCCCUUUAGAGCCGAGAACUUCUCUCUAGAUCUAUGAAAGGACACUUUCUGAUCCUAGCCAAAUCCCACUAAAGGAUGAGAAGAUUGGUUCUUGAGAGUCAGUAAGACAAAUGAAACAUACUGGGGGAACGCAAAUUAGACCAAUGCAUUAGACUCUCCAUUGCCAAAAUGGAGAAGAACGAGUCGAUGGUAAUAGCAUCUUCGUAUUUUUGGUCAGACACCUUCAAUGCUUUUAUCUUUGGUCACGGCCCAGCUUCCCCCGCAGUUGCUGAUGUUGUCAUGAUUACUGGAUUGGAAAUUGCAACUGCCGAUGAUGGCGGUAUCUUUAACCGCAAAACCGAAUAUAAAGUAGAAACCCGCAACAUCGGCGGGUGGUUAGGAUAUGUCUAAAAAUAUUGGCAAACUGGAUCGGUCGGCCAGAGAGAGCACGCCAUCAUUCUGAAUAUGUGGUUAGACAAGUUCAUCUUCUGUGGUCGAUCGAUAGGGCCAACCUCUGUUUACUUAUCGGCAGCAGAGCGACUAGCUAAUGGUAACCGAUUCCCCCUUGGCUGAUAUUUGCUAGGUUCUGUCUAUCACCUCCUCCACCAAGUAGUCGAGAAACUCUUGCUCGGUGAACCCAUCGACAACCUGGGAGGUCCUUGGUGGUUUAUUAAUUUGUGGCUCAACGGUCAUAUGCAUAAGGGCCUCCGGUGGGAUUUCUUCGCGCAGCAAUUCCCACAAGACAUCUGUAACAGAACCGUCCAAUUUAUAAGAAUUCAAGUGAAUUAGCGACCACGGAGGCAGUCAAGCCAAUGGACUUGAACCCAUAUAAACCCGGUAGUCCGACGAAAUCUCAAAAGACCUCGAUUCAACCAACAUACAACCAAGAUCGUACAUGAUCAAGCAUCGCCACCACAGAUUACAUACAUUCAUCACAGAACAUAGUUUUACAUCACAUCAGAGUUUAAAAGAGGUUAUUACAAACCAGCUUAGUAGCGGAAACAAAGUAGUUUGAAAACAUCACACACUCAGUUUAAAUUGCAUGCCAGCUCCAUGGUCAAACCCAACAAAAGCACAACUAAAGAUAGAGAAGGUGAUCACGCCCAUGAUCUACUCAUCGUCCGCAGCCGGAUGAUGACAGUUAGCACAGUAGCCGUGAUAAACAACAUCAUCUGCAACAAGGGUAAAUAAAACCCUGAGUACGAGAAUGUACUUAGUUAGACUUACCCGUCAUAAACCAAAAAUAAAGUGACACCAAGGAGUAUGCAAGGCUGAUCUUUGUGGACUAGUUUGACUCACCCUUUUGCAUAAAAAGCUUUAGUUGUAAGUAACCCAUUUAUAAUAUUUCAGCAGCAGGUUCAUUACUUUAACAACUAACCACUAGAUUAGCACCUGUUCUAAGCAUACACUUGAGUAUUUAAGCAUCACAAUAAUAACCAUAUCUAGAUUAUCACUUAGCUAUCAUCGUUCUCAUCAUAAACAUCAAGCUUAUUUAGUGAGUUCUACGUUGACACUGCCCGAGUCAAGUUCUCACUAUCCAGGAGAGACGGCGAUUCGAAUCGAUUCCUAUCCAGCUGGAGGGGUAUUCUUAGCACUCACCCAAGCAUACUUCAUGAGGGCAGCUCGGAUCACCUUUAGCACAACUCCGGACCAAUUCGCGGGUCCGUCCAGCGCCGCACCCCUAGGGACCGCCAAUCUGCCAGGGUCAGGAUUCUAACCUGACACCUCGGACUUACGCCAUUGACUCCCCGCACAUACUUACUACCAACUGGGGUGCGCACUCAUAUAGAACGGGGUAUCCGGCCUGAGUUGCACACAUAGGCUUCGCGGUCGGAAUAACUUAUCCGGCCAGCUAAGUGUUAGGCAUGCGUUCAACAUGACACGAGGACGCACAACGAAUCGGUCCUUAACCGACACGGACGGGGAUAGAUUCACACCCAAGACCUCCAUGCCUUGCUGCUGCACUAUCAUCAUCCCGCCCGGUCUCAUGUUCAUUAUUAGCACAUGGUUAUUUCCACGAUAGCAAAUAUAGCCAACCGUGAGGAAGUAUCCACCUAUCUCUCGCAGGUGACAGACAAUCACCCGGCUUCUACCGAGCUAAGCAUGGCUAAGCAUCAUUCGAUCCUGGACCUACUUAGAUAAGGUAUGAGGUGGACAAGGUAGUCAUUAUGCAGCAAGGGUGUCAUAUCAACGCCUAACACUUAAUGCGACAAUACAUAACCAUAACCAAUUGAUAGCUGGACAUGAUAACAAAAUAGUAGGAGUCUUAUAAUGCUCCGGGGCUUGCCUUCAAUGUAAGUAGAGGGACGAUGGUCAGGGCACUCCGGCAGAUCCCCCUCCUCAGCUCCUCGAGGUAGCUCCCCUUGUUCAUCUUCCGGCUCCGGCAGCUCGAACUCCAAAACUGUCACUCCCUUGGGUACACCUAUGUAUGCAUGACAAGGCGAUAAACAUAGGGAAUGCACAUAAAAUGCAUAAUGUUAUGAUGACCAGCCAAAGGGACAAGGAACAUGGUGCGAACAUGAGCAUAAGCUUCCAAUCAUCAAGAGAAUCAUGUACAACAAGCUAGUGCAUACUUCUUCUCUGGUAGAGAGGCUAACUAGACAAGCUAAUCAACCCUAGCUACUCAUACUUAGUCACUGGUCUCAUGGACAGAUUAACUAGUCUCAAGAUUCAGCAAUGACUUAAGCAUCAGUUGGCCAAACUAAACAAAUAGAUACUUUAUGGAAAGGUUAGUAAAUUGUCUACAAUUCACUUUUAGACAUCCCAGAAUAAUUCCCAACCGAAAUAUGCUAAAACAUACAAAGUUGGCUGGCUGUCCUGGAAAAUCCAGAGAGCAAACAUUUUGCAGCAGCUAUUUGUAACAUGCAUAACUUUUAAACUACUCAACCAAAUGUCAUGAAACUGGAACACGAAGUAGAUAAGAAAGUUAGCUACAGUUUGUUAUAGACAAGUUUCCCAGAAAACAUCAUCUUCAAUUAGUUCAUAAGCAAUUGCUAUCAGCUACACAGAAUUGCUCUAGGAAAGGCAUAAAUAGCAAAAAUAAUAUUUUGCACAUAACAAGAAUGUAUCAAAGGGUCAAUCCAAAUGCAGCAGUAGAUAGAACAUGCCUAAGAAACACUAGAAAACAUCAUGGCAAGGUCUAAACUCAUUUCUAUCAUCACCUUUUUCAUUUAUUUAAUUAUUAAGGUGAUUUAAUGAACAUGCAUCCCAAUGCUCCAAGAAUACUAGGAAAAUUACAGCAAGCUACUUAUGCUAACACAAGGUUACUGUAAAAUUUUCAGGGCACUUGCACAUACAGAUUGUGAGAUACAAAAAUAAUAAACUAGCAAAGGCAUGCAAGGCAUAAAUGUGAAACCCUACCAAAAAGUGUCAAACAACAGAUUUUAGAUUUUUCCUAGUUUUGUUUACACAUGAGUACAACACUCAGCAAGUUUCACCACAAAAGGAGUUAUAACUUAUUUAUUAAAAAUACCACAAGAAACUCCUGUUUGAACAAGAAAUAUUUAUAACUUCACAAUCAGGCAUCCAAAAAUCAUGAUAAAUUUAUCAGAGCCUAUUCAUGUCAUAAGUAACCAUACCCUAAAUUUGCAUGGCCAUCAGAUCAACAGAUCUCCAGAUAUAAUUACCUCCUUUUAAAUCAAGAUUAAAUUAUAUCUAUUUAUUUCUAAAAAACAUAGUAUGUUUCAUAUUUUUAAUAAAAACUAGAUUACCACAAGAACCUAGCAAAAUUGGAACCACACCAUUUGGAUCUGUAAAACACAAGAUAUGAAUUUUUUCAAAAACAGCAAACGAUCUGCUACACAGUGACCAGAGAUGUGUGAGAGAGAGAGACUGACAGGUGGGAUCCGCUGACACACGGGACCCACGCGACAGAGAGACAGAGACAGGAGAGACGCUCGUCGCCGGCGAAACUCGACGACAGCGAGGUCUCGAUUGGAUCCAAGGGCAUCUACGUGUUCCUCUCCUCAAGGCAGACUCGGUGACCUACUUUACCCGCGCUCUACUGGACCCUAGGGUGCUCGCCGUCGUGAAUGGCGGCUCGGCGGCGCUGCGGGCGAUACGCCGGCGUGCACUGCCGAUGCCGUCCCGGUUGAUGUUCACGCCGAGCAUCAAUGAGCCAAGGGAAAGCGAUAGGAACAAGAAUGGAGAGAAAUGGUGGAGCAGAGAGGCCUGGCCACGUCGCCGGUGAGCUCGGGCGAAACUCCGGCGAGGGAGAAUGGCUCGGAGCUCGGCAAUGCCGCCUUACCCGUGCUCGACAGUGGCCAAGGGGGUGACGCCGAGGUAGAGGAAGCUCUGGCGAAGCUUUUGGUGGGCUGGCUUGGCCGGAGACGGCGAGGGAAGCUCGAGCGAAGCUGCCGUUCCGCGGCGGAGCUCGCCGAAGCGAAAUGGAGAAGGGAGAGAGCGCUGGGGAGGCGAAAUGAGGACGGCCGAGGCUCGGGGUGGCGUCGUGGCGUCCAAGUGAAGGCGUCGGGGCUGACAGGCGGGGUCGCCGUUGACGUACAGCCACCACGGGUCGUCCACGCGUCGGCCGGCUGGUGACUGACGAAACUGAAUCGCGCGAUUCAGUCGUCGCCGACAGUGACUGAAACCCGAUGUUCAUCGACGUUUUACUCUCAGCUCACUCGGUGGUUUUGGCACAAACUUGAUCCUUUGGAUAGAGCUACACGAGUUCUACAAGAUUGCUUACAGGAUCAAAAUCUAAUUCGGCCUGGAUUUCAUUCUACAAAGCUCCCAAGUACCCUACCUCGAAACUGCGUUGCCUCAGACUUAGGAAAAAUUUGGCUAAGUGUAGAAUCAGCCCUGAUUUUUGCCUUGUGAGCUAAAUUUGAUUCUGUUCCAAGCAUUUUCAUGAAAAGUCAUCAACAUAACUUUUGUAGCAUAUAAAAUUUACUACAGCUUUGCUUUAGAUGUCAUUUACAUGCAAGGUAUCUAACACCAGUUUCAUAAAACACCUUUGAAAAGAGGUCUAGGGGGUCAACUAGGUCAAUCUAGGGUUAACCAUGGCUUAGGGGCAUUUUUGGCCAAAACAUCCAACAUGAACUUUGUUCAAAAAGUUAUUCUAAACAUGACUAAAGUAUUUUGGAAGAUAAUGUACACUUGCAUGCAUUUGUCACCCAUUACAUUCAACCAUAGCAAGUCAUAUAGCAAUUCAAUCACAUAGUGUAUGUAACAAAUGGCAUGUGAUCAUGGUAUGAUGCUCAUGAGUGAUCAUGAUGAUGCUUAUGUUGAUGCAAUGCUCAUGGUUAACAUGCAAGCUAACACUAGGAGUGUUACAGCCCUCCCCCCUUACAAAAAUCUCGUCCCGAGAUUUAAAAGACAUACCAUUUUUCAUAGAAUGAGGGAUAAGUUACUUGUAAAUAGUCUUCCUGUCGCACCCGGUUUUCCAAGGAAGACCAAGCGCUAACUAUAUGUGUGCCCAGGAUGUCCACACGACACAUAUAGCGACAAAUAUGGAGAAUAUCAAGAACAAUGCUUUAUUAUAUAUCGGAACAUAGUUACAACAAUGCUUACAUCAUAACAAAGCAUAGCGGAAACUAAUCCUAAUCUUCACUUUGGGUCUCCAUUUUCCACAGGGACGGUUGACUGGGGGUACACUCGCCUAGUACUCCUGGAACAUCUCAGGGAACUCCACCUUUGUAUCACCAUCUAGUACCCAUCCGGGAUUUUUGAUUGUUGAAUGUAAAGCAAGUAUGAGCGCACCAUACUCAACAAGUAUAACAUGAGGGGAUGCAAGGCUCAAAAGGCUUGACUUGGUUUGACUGCGAUAAGCAUUUUUAGUUGGUCAUAUUUUAUUAUUAGACCUAUGUUGCUAGGUUAUGCUUAAGCUCCCAAGGUGACAACUAUAAUUAUCAUCAAAAUUAAUCAUCAACCCAAACCAUCCAUUGAACCAUCUAUCUCGAAAAGGAUCCAGGUCGCUCUUGACCGAGAGCACGGCUGAUAUAUCAGUUUUUAUAACUCUGCAGAGUGUGUACAUCUUUACCCAUGAGUCGUGAUUGCCCUUUGCCUGAGGGGGCCAACCUCUUGACUCACUUCCAAGGUAAGUCGGCAGGGAUCACUACGUAACCUUUCACUAGACACCCUAACUAGUUAGUGGCCGCGAGGUUUCAGUGGCAAGUGUGCAUAGAGACCUCCUCCAAGAGGCACAUGUGGUCGCGGCACUGUACACACCAAGGUAGGGGCAAAACUAUACACCACGAGGCACCCCCCUCUUGCGCCUUUCGGUAACCACUAACAAGCUAGAGACAUACUAGAUACUUGAUUAAGAUCAGAGCCAUGUGAUUCUCAUGGUUGUACUGUAAGUCCUGGGUUGCCGCUUUAAGAUUCAGUCCUUACGGAGGGCAGACUAGAGCACCCAAAAAGGCCCAAUGCUCUAGCCCCCUGAUAUCCAUGUUGCUAGAAAGCAUCAUUAUAAUAUUGAUUCCAUAAUCAUUAAUCAGUAUUAGUAUUAUACAGUUUGGUGAUUGCAGACUAAGCAAACUACCCAUAUGCAUAACCCCAGGGUAAACAAGGAUACAAGAUACAAUAGUUCUAGGUAAAGUCCUUAUGGGUUUAUCAUAUUAGACACAUGCACAUGAAGAGGUGAUUAAAUAGUUAUUAGGUAACAAGGGAACUCAUGUUACACUUGCCUUCAACUGUUGCUUAAACUUAUCCAACUUCUUCAUCAUCCUUGUAGAGCUCCUCUUCUAACGAUAGCAACAACGAUCGCAAGCAUCAUAGACAAGCCUAAAAACAGUACAUCAAUCAUUGUAAAAAAAGUUUUAGAACACUAGGGCCUGUAACUACGAUCGUUGAGCGCAAAAACAACUAAGUGAAACUACUAUAAAAGGGUGUGAAGGAUUGAAGGUUGAAGUUAGAGGUUCGGUAAAUUAUACGAAUGGAAUGAACAUGAUCGAUUUAGUGCUAGCUUGGAAAGAUUUAUAGAUCACAAGGAUUUAUAGACGAAUUAUUGAUGACUAUGGAGUUGUGUAUAAUGAGUUGUAUAGAACAUAGUGAAGCGAAUAUAAGAUGGUACAAGCAUUAGAUUGCAUAAGAGGGACUGAUUGUUCUAACAUGGAUGAGAGAGUGCUUCCGGAUAUGUUCGGUGAUGAAUUGGAAACACAUCGUGACAAAUGUGUGCAAAACGGUGGAUGCUAGGUCAACAUGAAGUGCUUCUAGUAUAUUCCCACCAAAAUAUGGAGCUGCACCAAAGGUAUAGUAAGUACACUUGAUGAAAAUGUAUGCACCUGAUAUACACACCAUCAUGUAAGUGGACUUGGUGAUUUAUAUAGGGGUUUAGCGGGGAACACGAUAAAACACCGAUCAAUCCAUAACGUGGAUGUCGGCAGAUUGUGGGAGUUAUGAUCAGCGGUUGUAUGGUUAUCACCAAACCAAAAGGUGAUCCAUUUUGCGGGGAUGCUGGGUACUCUAUGAGGUAUGUUUUGGCAAGAGGGCAUGUCAUUUUGUGUAACAGUUGGUUCGGAAAACAUGAUCAUAAAACAGAUGUGAUGCCGAUAGAUGGACUGCAAGAGUGGCAGUGACAGUGGCAUUUAUAUCUCGGCCACCGUGGCACUCAUGGACAUACCAAAUUGCAGAAUCGUAUGCAAGGUUAAGGGGCACAAGAUGGUCAAAGGGUUUGAGGAUUGGGCUUUUAGAUUAAUGGGGAACUCCAAUACAAUUCGAAUCAGCCUAGCUGCCAGGACUGCAGGGAUAGCGCUCACGAAGAUGAUGAUAUAUUUGGUGUCUCAACUCCUAUGACAAAACUGUCCUACAGAGGUGUGCUCAGGGAUGAUAUCUACUCUGUGGUAAAAGGGUUUGACUAUGUGAUGAACGGUUAAUGGGGAAUAACACUGCCACUGAGAUGCAUUGCUGUUGAACAAACGAGACAGCGGGCACGAAAAAGAUUAUAUCUCUUUCAUGUUUGAUCCUAUAGCCAUGAAACUUUGCAAAGACAUGUGUGAGAAUGGUAUUUACUCUUAUGGUGAAAGGGUUUGAUGAUUGGGAUCACAGUUUUCUGAGGAAAGCCAAAACAAUUUAGUGCUGCGUGGCUGCUAGGAUAGCAGGGAUAGUGAGUGUGAAAACUGACCCAAAACACCAUCUCUAUUGAUCGGAUGGGUGACCAACUUUGCAUAACCAUGUACAAGUAUGUGAUACAUGUGUGGGUCGAAAGAAAUUUGUAUUGGAUUGGUAAAACAACAGGAACAUACAUGCCAAUCAGCAGCAGCGUGACUACGUGGCUGCAUAGGCAGCAAGCAUGAGAAAAUGAUUACUCUUUUUGUUUGGAUGAUAUGGCCAUGGGAUUUUUAUGGAGACAUGUGCAGAUAUAUGAUACACACAUGGAUUAAAGGAAUUGCAAAACAGAGAUGCAAAUUGCCAGGAACAUGCUAGAUAACCAGCAGCAACACUGCUGUCCACGAUAGACAACAAUACGUUCUUAGCCAAAACUGCACUACAAAUCUAUCCACUUGAAUUAAGAUGAAAAAACUUUGAUAUAGUUCAACAUAUAAGAUAGAGGGAAAUGUGUGGUUCUCACAUUGGGGUUAGGAACAGUUGGAGAUGAACGUGAUGGCAGCGGUCAGUGUCAAUGACAGGUGAAGACAAUGUUGGCGAUCAAUGGAGCAGUGGUAUAUUCGCUUUGGGGGAUCAUCCAUGCCUCACAAUAGAUCAAAGAGAUGCAUGAGUGGGGAAUAUGAAACAAGAUCACAGAGGGGAGAGGGAAGGGCGACCUCACCAUGGUCUGCACAAGAGCAGCAGCGAUGACGGUCGAUGAGUUUCUGCUGCAGGUUCUGGGAGAUGGGAAAAGACAUUGGGGUGACCUCCAUGAAGCGCUGCAGCACCAUGGCGUCCUCAAGCAAGAUGUGAAGAAUUCCAUGACUCCGAUGAUGGGAAGAAACGUGCAGCAGCAAAACAAAAAUGUUGCUGAGAGGGCAGUGCAUUUUGAUGGAGAGGUUGGAGAGGGAUUUGGAGGGGAGAGGAGUGGCCAUCCAUGGUGAAGGAAAUGGAAGGAGAAGAGGCGGUGGCUGCUGUUUUUUUUUUGUGGAGAGAAAGGAGGGAGAGUUGGAGCUGCAGCCAUGGGGAAAAGAGAGGAGGAGGGGCGCCCAACUGAUGGAGGAAGAGGAGGAGAUGGGAUGCUCCUUCUCUGGUGCUUGCGUGAGGGAGAGAGGAGGAGAUGAGGGGGGAUUUUAUAGCUGCUGCAGCUGCAUGUGUCCAUGCCAUUGAAGUGAAAUAAAAAGGCAGUGAAAAAAAAUAUGUGCUAUCAAGAGGGUUUUGAAGAAGGGUCUUGCUGGUUGUGCGUGGGAAAAGAGAGGAGAUAUGGCUGUGAAUGUAUGCAUGCAAUUGAAGAGGAGUCAAGAGAGGCUAGGUGAUUAAGGAAGAGCAUUAUGUAUUGCCUUUUUAUUUCUGCAUGAGAGUGAGACAAUGGUGGCAUAGGAGAGGGGAAGAGGGGCUGUCCAUCUGCAGUGUGCGUGAAGGAGAAAUGGAGGAGGAAAUAAAGCUGUUGUUGUGCAUGAGGAAGAGGAAAAUAUAUGGCUGCUAUUUCCUGCAUGGAUGCAUGCAAAUGAAGAGAGUAAAACCCAUAGAGUAAAUAGGUGCUAUUGAAAUCAGGUGUGUGUCUCAUGGGAAUCAAAGGAGAGCAUUAUUUGUAGUAGUUGUUUUGCAUGGGAAGAGAGUGGCAGCUCCUGUGUGUGUCGAGCAUAAAAGAAAUAAGGGAGAAAGGGUGAUGGAUGGCUGUUUCAUGAGCCCUUCAUUACUCAUGCAAUUAGAGAGUUGCAUUGGAGAAUAAGAGGGGCUUGUAAAGGUAAUUAAGUGGGAACAUUUGCUGCAGUUUUCUGCAUGAGAGAAAAGGAAGAUGCGCCAUUGGGAGGAGAAGUGAUGACCUGCUCAUGUGAGCAAGGGGGAGGAGAUAUUGCUGGUUGUAAUUUUCUGCAUGCAUGCAAAUGAAACAAUGGAGUAAAGCAAUUGAAAUAAUAGAGGUGAGUCAAUAGGAGAAUGAAUGGGUGCACAUUAAUAUUGAGCAGGAGGAGAAGGGAGAGGCGCCCUUGGCAGUAAGGGAGGAGGAAGAGAAGAUGUAUGGCUACCUGUUGCAUGCACACUGAUGGGAUAAAGGAUACUCAAAGGAGAGGAUUAAACAAAGGUGUUACCAUUGUAAUUUAAGGGGAAGAAUUAGUUGUUGUUGUUCUCUUGCAUGAGAGAAAAAGGAGUAAACGUGGGGGUAGCCAGAGCAUAGAUGGCUGCAUGCCAUUGGAAGUAAAGGAAAACAAAUGAAGGAGUGAAGUGUGUCUAAAAAAAAAUAAAAAGAAAGAAUUAUUGAGCAGUCGCCAUAGAGAUGAGAAGGGUGAUUUCUCCACAUGAAAGAGACAAAGUAAUCAAGGGGCUAAAGAGUUAAAUGCUGCUGUUAUUUUACAUGAAGGAUAGGUGUCAUGAGGAAAAGAGAAAGAGAUUCACGGCUGCCAUUACAUACAACUGGUGAGAUGGGAUAAAGAUAUACUUGAUGGAGUCAAGGAAAUUAAUAGAGGAAUUAUCUUUGCAUGGAGAAGAGAGGAAGUGUUGGUGUAGCUGCAAAAGUUAAUUGUCCAUGCAUGGUGCUUUCCAUAUGCAGUCCUAAGAUUAUUAGUGAAUUGAAAAGGAGGAAUUAAGGAGGAAUUAGUUGACGAAGUUUGUGCAUGUAGGAAAAGAUCAGGUGCUGCCCAAGGGGAUGACGACACAUAGAUGUGAGGAGGGCUUCUAUUUUCCUUUUUACAUAAAAGAGAAGUAGAGAAUCGUGCAUGAGGUGGGAGAGAAAGAUGGAUGUUUUGGGCUGGUUUGGACUUGAUCCAAAGCAAGACAGGGAACUUGGCUUGAUCAAAGUGAUGGCAGAAUUGUGUAAACAAGGUGGUCAUAUAAUUUAGAUUUAAGGGGUUGGGAGGACUUGAUCAAAAACAAGUAGGAGUCCAAAAAAAGGAAGAGGAAAGCGAGAGAGGGAGAGGGUUAGGCUAGGGAUUUAGUUUGUGGACAAAAGAUUUGAUUAGAACUUUUAGAUAUUGGUUUGAUGUUUGGAAAGAUGAAGUUGGGAUAAACCCAAGGCAUAUCUUGAAAACAAACAAAAUUUAUUUUUCAAGCAUAAACACUAUGCAACGGCAUGAAUGCAACAAACCACUAAGUUGAUUUACAAAAGUUUUAGAAACCCACAUUUUUUACUAUCUAAAAUGUUGUCAACAUAAAUAAAGUUGGAACAUUUUAUAAAAAAAAUUCUUUGUCUUUGUUUUUAGUGUUUUCUAAGUCAUGUCCCAAAGUUAGAAUUUUGGGGUGUGACACUUCCCUUUCCCAAGUGGCAUCUCUCUCACUUUGACGGUUCCACAAAACUCUAAAGAGUUUAAUCACUCUCCCACGCGUAACUCUUUCCUUGACGUCAAGAACUUGUACAGGCUUCUCUUCAUAGGAUAGAUCAGAUUGCAACUUGAGAUCUCUCGUUUCAACUCUCUCUUCGGGCACACGGAGACACUUCUUGAGUUGAGACACAUGGAAUACAGGGAAAAUGGUUCCUAGUUCUGGAGGUAGUUGUACCUUGUAAGCUACCUUGCCGCUCUUCUCAAUGAUUUGGUAGGGACCCACAUACCUCGGGGCAAGCUUUCUUUUUACCCCAAAGCGAUUUACACCCUUCAUGGGCGAUACCUUGAGAUACACAAAGUCACCUACUUCAAACUCGAGUGGUUUUCUUCUUCGGUCAGCAUAGCUUUUCUGUCUAGCCUGGGCAGCUUUCAUGUGUUGCUGGAUAAUGAGAACUUGCUCUUCGGCUUCUUUGACAAAGUCAAUUCCGUAGUACCUCCUUUCGCUAGGUUCGACCCAGUUUAGAGGAGUUCUACAUUUGUGGCCAUACAAAGCUUCGAAAGGAGCCAUUUGGAUAGUCUCUUGAUAACUAUUGUUGUAAGAGAACUCAGCUAAGGGUAGCCAUUUCUCCCAGGCACCCUUGGCAGAUAUGACACAUGCCCUCAACAUAUCUUCUAAGAUUUGAUUUACACGCUCAGUCUGAACGGAGGUUUGAGGGUGGUAGGCUGAACUGCGAACCAAUUUUGUACCAAGGAGUGAAUGCAAAUGCUCCCAAAAGCGGGCAGUGAACUUAGGACCCCUAUCAGAAAUAAUGGUGCGAGGCACUCCGUGCAAUUUAACAAUCUGAGAGAAGUAUAACUCAGCGUAGUCGGAUAUUCGGUGUGUCGACUUCAUAGGGGUAAAAUGGGCUGACUUGGUCAAACGGUCAACAAUCACCCAUAUGGAGUCGUGUCCCUUUUGGGUAGGGGGAAGGCCAACAAUGAAAUCCAUGCUAAUUUCUUCCCAUUUCCAACCCGGAACCGACAAAGGUUGCAAUAAACAUGCAGGUUUGAGGUGAACUGCUUUUACCCUGCAUCAAGUAUCGCACCUAGCAACAUAAGCUGCUAUCUCCUUCUUCAUCUUGGUCCACCAGAAACGAGGCUUUAAGUCUUGGUACAUUUUGAUACUACCAGGAUGAAUGGACAACUUGGAAGAAUGAGCUUCAUCUAAAAUUUUGUUGCGUAGGUCACGGUCUUUAGGUACAACUAGUCGAUCGUCAAACCAUAGUACACCCUUCUCAUCUACCCUGAAAUGCUUGGUGUCUUGCUCUUGCAUUUUUCUCUUGAUAUGGAAAAUACCAAGAUCAGACUUUUGGAGCUCUAUAAUUUGACUUUCUAGCGAAUAGCUGACUACAUUGUUGUGUAGGACCGCCGGGUGCAAUAAAUUGAACCCUUCCUCUAAGAGAGGUCCAACAUGUUGUUUCCGGCUAACAGCGUCGACUACAACAUUGGCCUUGCCCGAAUGAUAGUCUACUUCUAGAUUGUAGUCUUUUAUCAACUCCAACCAUCUUCUUUGUCUCAUGUUUAUCUCGGGCUGAGUGAAUAUAUAUUUGAGGCUCUUAUAGUCAGUGUAAAUGUGACAUAGAUUACCCAACAGAUAAUGCCUCCAGAGUUUCAAUGCGUGUACAACAGCUGCUAACUCUAGAUCAUGAGUCGGGUAGUUGGCUUCUUGUUUCCUCAGUUGCCGAGAAGCAUAGGCAAUGACUUAGCCUUCUUGCAUAAGUACACAACCUAAGCCCGUGCCAGAUGCAUCACAAAAGACAUCAAAUGGCUUUUCGAUGUCAGGCUGUGCCAGAACAGGAGCGGUGGUCAGCAAAUGGCGUAAUGUGGUGAAAGCGACUUCACACUCCUGGGACCACACAAACUUCACAUCUUUUUGCAGUAGCUUGGUCAUAGGCUUAGCUAUUUUGGAGAAGUCCGGAAUAAAGCGACGAUAAUAUCCAGCUAGACCAAGAAAACUCCGAACCUCGUGCACUGAAGUCGGGGCCUUCCAGUCUAGAACCUCCUGCACUUUUGACGGGUCAACAGAAAUACCCUCUUCGGAUAGAAUAUGGCCUAGGAAAGGCACUUUCUUCAGCCAAAACACACACUUGCUGAACUUGGCAUAGAGCUGAUGUUCUCGCAGUCGAGUGAGUACAAUCCGAAGAUGCUUCUUGUCGAGGAUAUCAGUAAGGGGUACCCCAACUGAUGUCCAUGUCGGGAUUAUCCAUACACAAUUCGAGGCCUCCUACUUGACGCUCUGCCCAGUCACGCGUAUGGUCAUCAACAACCGCAGCCUCGAAGACGGAAAGGGUGUCGAGUGAACCGAUCAGGGCUCGAGCGUCGGCUACCGUCGAAUACAGAAGCAGGCUCGAGCGAACCGGGAGGCGUCGAGCGCAAGGCCGCCGCCCGCCGCCUGACGCGGGCACGGGAACCAGGGCAUUUAAUGCGCCUGUCGCGUUCUCACCUAACACGCAGGUCACGGGGAGCGUGAUAGGGAGCAGGCACCCAUCACAUCAUUCUUUUUGCAGCCUUCCCCACCAAAUAACCCAGAGCGUGUCAGGAUGCAGGAAGCAGGGUUGGAACGUCUAAUCAAGACCCCCUCGAGACAUCCAAGGUCAACGUUCUGGAUAGCAAGGCGCUACACGGCGUCCGACCCUCGACCAGACCCGUUUCCUUCCUGGGGAAGGGUUGGGCGUCGAAUGACAACACCACAACCGCUCCGACGUAACCGCCGCCAUGACGUACAGGCGAGCAACAGAUAAACCAGUCCAAGACGGCACACAGAGCAGGAUACAGGGGCAUGCGUAAUCAUCAUCAAGCUACCAGGACGGGACGACUCGAGACCACGCCGGUACGGAGGCCUCGAGUAAGUCCACGCGCCAUACCUCUAUCGACCCCUACUCUGACGCCUAUACUUGUACCCUAGGCUUCUCCUUAGAACUAUAAAAGGGGAGGCCCGGGAGGCGAUACAGAGAUCACGCACAAUACACCACAACAUACAACGCUCACAUGCAGUAGAGCUUCCAUCUCCAUCUUAUUUCAUACCACGCUUGUAUUUACCCCUGUACAAGCACUUAGGUGCAGAAUAAUACAAACUCUCCUCCCCCGCUGGACGUAGGGCCUUCUCUUGCCCGAACCAGAAUAAACCUUUGUGUCUUUUUGCAUCACCAUCUAGAAAAGGGAGCACGCAUACAAAUUUACUAGUUGGUGUGACCUCCGGGGAAAAAACACCGACACUUCUCAUGGUCUUGAGCUUUUUCAGAGUACACCAAAAUGUCAUCGAUGAAUACUACCACAAACUUAUCCAGUUCAAGCAUGAACACCGAAUUCAUCAGGUACAUGAAAUGAGCAGGGGCAUUAGUCAGACCAAAGGACAUGACUAGAUACUCAUACAACCCAUACCUGGUAGAGAAAGCCAUUUUAGAAAUGUCUUCAGGUCGGAUCUUGAUUUGAUGAUACCCAGAUCUCAGAUCAAUCUUGGAGAAUACCUUAGCCUUAGCUAAUUGAUCAAACAGGAUAUCAAUGUGAGGCAGUGGAUAUUUGUUUUUAACAGUCACGGCAUUUAGCGAACGAUAGUCUACGCACAUACGUAGAGACUUGUCCUUCUUCUUGACAAAGAGAGCCGGACAACCCCAGGGAGAAGAACUAGGCCGAAUAAGAUCUUUCUCAAGAAGUUCUUGCAAUUGCUUCUUUAACUCUGCCAAUUCAUUGGGUGGCAUUCGAUAUGGCCUUCUAGAGAUAGGCGCGGUAUCCGGAAUCAGAUCAAUUUUAAACUCUAUGUUUCUAUCCGGUGGCAACCCAGGCAGAUCCUCUGGAAAACAUCCGGAAACUCGCACACUACCAGAAUUUCUGCCACCGUGAGUGGUCUAAUAGCAUUAGCAGCGUGACAGAUGUCAUUGCUUCUAGGGAGUUGAACUAAGAAAGCUUCUUUACUAUCAGGCUGCCUCAACAUGAUUACCCUAGUUGAGGUGUCUAUUAACACUUCAUGGUCACUCAUCCAUUUCAUUCCUAGGAUAACAUCUAUUCCCAAGCCCGAUAAGAUGACAAGAUUUGUUGAAUAACUACGCCCUUCAAUGGCAAUAUGCACAUCCCUCACUAAUUGAUUUGUAGAGAUCUAAUUACCAGCAGCACUAAUGCAAAAUUUUCCACUGUCAAGGUCAAUUACAUGUUGCCCAUGCUUAGAUGCGAAUGCUUGACUUAUGAAUGAAUGCGAAGCUCCAGAAACAAACAAGACAACUGCAGGGUGUUGAUUUACAAGAAACAUACCAGCCGUGACCACUUCACCUUCGGGGAUUUCUUCAAUGGUGGUAUAGUGCACUCGGCCAAUACGGUUAUUACCCCCAGCUGCAGAAUUCCUCUUUGGAUAAGGGCAAUCUCUCAUCCAGUGACCGACUUGUUUGCUGUUAAAGCAGGGGCGGUUAUUAGGGGGAGUCUUGGGGCCUCCUUGACCUGUAGCACCCCUAGGAAGAGCAACUGUGAAGGACUUAAGAACGCCUGUACCUAGUCACAGCAUUGGGCGGGCGUUAGGCCGGUUUGCUUGCCACUGGGGCCUUGGACUGCGAAGCACCUGCCUCAUAGGCCCUCUUGCGGUUCUUGGACGUGGCAUACACAGCAUCUGAGUUCUCCUGAGUCAACGCAUCACUCACAAACUCAUUAAAAGUGGUACUCUUGUUACCAGCCAUGUUCUUGGACUUCUUGGGUCCCAACCCUCUCUUGAAACUAGCAAGCUUCUUGACCUCAGUAUCAACCAUUUCAGGAGCAUAGCGAGACAAAUUAUUAAAAGCAUGAAGGUACUCAGUCAAGCUUUUAGUGCCUUGAGUCACAUUCAUUAACUCGGUAUGCUUGAUAGUCAUUAAGCCUUGGGGAAUAUAAGUGGUCCUGAAAGCAGUUUUGAACUGAUCCCAGGUUACAACAGCAUUGGCAGGCAAGCUGGUCCUGUAAUGACUCCACCAGACACCGGCUUUGCCUUCCAGCUGGUGUGCUACAUAUUCCGCCUUCAAUUCUUUAGUUACCCUCAGCAAGCAGAACUUCUGCUCGAGAGUGUUCAGCCACUCAUCAGCUUCCAGAGGUUCGACAGCCUCCUUGAAAAGCGGCGGCUUCGUGUCCUGGAAAUCCUUGAAAGUGCUAAAUAGAUUUGCUUCUCCACCUUGGCAGGCAUGGCGACCACCCCGGUUCUGCUGCGCCAUAGUCUGCAUAGCAUCAUUGAGCAUUCGCUGGCCCUCAACAAGAGUUGCCAAGAGCUCAGCAGGCGUAGGCAGGGGAGGAGGUGGUGGUGGCGGCACCUCAUUGUGACCGGAGCGAGUAUUGCGAGCCAUCUGCACAAGGCAUACCAAGUGACCGUUUAGGAUAACAGAUAUAAUUACCAUGAAUCUCGAUUGCUGCCAUACGAAAUUUAACAAAAUAAAUUCACAUAAUUCAAGGCACAAUAAUCCAUGUACAAUAGGAGAAUAUCGUCCACGACACUUGGUUAUUCUCGCGAUCAUUCACAGUCACAAUUCACAAGGAUUAAAGACAUUGCAGAAGAUUAUUUAAGCUCAACAUAAACAUGGAGCAUCACAAAUAAGUGCAUAGGGUAACAUAAAAUCACUGCCACAACUUAAGUCUUACAGGAGGGGCACCAUGGCCAAAUACAUAGGGUCUCAGCUGAAAUUCAGAUUACAUAUCCAUUACAUAAAGAGAUGGAUACUGAUAAAUGAGCAUGGAAACUAUUGCUUGGCUACAUAUCUUCCUCAGAUUCUCCAUUAGAAAUUAUGCCAUCAUCCUGAUCUUCCUCACUGGGAGCUUCUUCAUGAUUAAAGGGAACAGGGUGUGGAAUAGGAUUUAUGAUAUUAUUUAGGCGAUGGACAUCUAACUGCAGCUCGGCAAUCCUAGUAAUCAGCUCUUCCUCUCUAAUUUCACCAUGGAAUAAAGCUCUAACUCUAGCAGCGUCUCUAUUUUCAGCCAAGCGCAUAGCCUCAUCUCUCUCUCUAGUCAUUUGCAUCAUGCGGGCUUGUGCCUCAUUGCGCUCUCUAAAUGCAUUUUUAACUUGGUUGCGGCGGGCUUGCAAAGCGGUGUGAUAGUUUUGGAUUUCGGCUUGUGCGUCGCUAAAGGCCUUGCGGUGCUUGCGCACACGCUUGCGCAGUUUGCGCUGCCCAACUUGAGCUUGCUGGAGCGCUAACAUAGCUUCUAUGUAGGUGUCCUGGCGUACAUAGUAUAAUUUAAGUACCACCAGCAUGACACUCAUGGCGGGGCUAGAGCUAUAUCCUAGUCUGGUUUCUCUCAUUGCUAAAGGCUCAGCUCCUAUCUGAGACACAAAUGUGUCAGUCACACUCACUCUAGGAAAUGAUCCAGCUGGGCCAUUAAUUAACUCAUCCCCAUAGUCUUGGCAUAUCUCCAGCAGUACUUCUAAGGCACAAGCCCUCCCAAGGAGUUUGACCAUCGGACUCUACUAUCCAACCUAACCACUGUGGGUUGUUUGGAAAAGAGGGAACUGUAAUUUGGACAUCUACCCAAGGUAAAGAUCCUGCAUGCUCGGCCUCUGUCCAUGUGUACUGAGGUGGUUCCUCAUAUCCCACCAAACUUAGCACCCUCCACAACAAAGUAGGAGUGCCAAACAUGUCCAGAAAAGUAUCACUUGCAUGUGGGGCUGCCAUCUGUAGGAAAGACGACAACUUGUGUAAGGAAGAUUAAUUACAAGGGAAGAUAAUUGAUUAUAUUUCGGAAUUUAAGAAUUAAGUAGUGCAUAAGAAAUGUAUGAAUGAUUCAUGAUGCAUGCACGUUCCAUACGUCAUUUCCAUACCUAGAAGAAAGUUCUAACGGUAUAGUCGGUGGCAUACAUACGUGCACUCCUUAUACGCAACUACACGGUCUACACGUUUCGUUGUUAGUGUACCUGCAGAAAAUUUCAUUCCAGCCCAACCUGGGUAUAUGUGCAGAAAUGCAAAUCCAAUCAUCAACAAUCAAGCUAGAUACUCCGAUAUAUAUUCCCAAACAUAUAUCGCAGCAUCCUACCCUUUUGGGAUACAUCCAUAUACACAUCAAAUAUGUAUACAUGGCUGCACCUACUACCCGCAAUUAAGUACCUUCAUAUAUACAUGUGUGAAACAUGUAAAUAUUCCAGUAACCACAGCUAACACUCCCCUGGACCGACGGUUGGACGGUCAUGCUCUCACAGCUCACAUAUACCGUGGCGUAGAGGCAUAUAGAUCCAUACAUUACCACUCAAGCAAGUGGCAUCCAUACAAUUUCAUACCGUAUGGACGACGAAAGAAAACAAACAAUGAUUACCAUGGCGUAGAGGUAUGUGAUCCAUUCAUUACCACUUAUGUAAGUGGCAUCCAUAUUAUUGCACGCCAUGGACGACGAAAGGAAAAACCCCCAUGUUAGUAAUAUUAAGCCACCUAGAAGUCCUUAUAUGGGCACAAAGGGUAUGACCACUGGCAUAGUAUAAGUUAUUGAAAUAUUUUUAAAACAGCCCUAUGUAUAGUCUAAUUUGCCAAUUAGUUCGCGGAAACCAAAUUCAUUUGUUUUUAAAUACAUCUAUGAUGGUUAAAUGCUUAAUCUUGCUCUGAUACUAGCUGUAACACAACCGUCCAAUUUAUAAGAAUUCAAGUGAAUUAGCGACCACGGAGGCAGUCAAGCCAAUGGACUUGAACCCAUAUAAACCCGGUAGUCCGACGAAAUGUCAAAAGACCUCGAUCCAACCAACAUACAACCAAGAUCGUACAUGAUCAAGCAUCGCCAUCACAGAUUACAUACAUUCAUCACAGAACAUAGUUUUACAACACAUCAGAGUUUAAAAGAGGUUAUUACAAACCAGCUUAGUAGCAGAAACAAAGUAGUUUUAAAACAUCACACACUCAGUUUAAAUUACAUACCAGCUCCAUGGUCAAACCCAACAAAAGCACAACUGAAGAUAAAGAAGGUGAUCACGCCCAUGAUCUACUCAUCGUCCGCAGUCGGAUGAUGACAGUUAGCACAGUAGCCGUGAUAAACAACAUCAUCUGCAACAAAGAUAAAUAAAACCCUGAGUACGAGAAUGUACUCAGCUAGACUUACCUGUCAAAAACCAAAAAUAAAGUGACACCAAGGAGUAUGCAAGGCUAAUCUUUGUGGACUGGUUUGACUCACCCUUUUGCAUAAAAAGCUUUAGUUGUAAGUAACCCAUUUAUAAUAUUUCAGCAGCAGGUUCAUUACUUUAACAACUAUCCACUAGAUUAGCACCUGUUCUAAGUAUACACUUGAGUAUUUAAGCAUCACAAUAAUAACCAUAUCCGGAUUAUCACUUAGCUAUCAUCAUUCUCAUCAUAACCAUCAAGUUUAUUUAGUGAGUUCUACGUUGACACUGCCCGAGUCAAGUUCUCACUAUCCGGGAGAGACGGCGAUUCGAAUCGAUUCCUAUCCAGCUGGAGGGGUAUUCCUAGCACUCACCCAAGCAUACUUCAUGAGGGCAGCUUGGAUCAUCUUUAGCACAACUCCGAACCAAUUCGCGGGUCCGUCCAGCGCCGCACCCCCAGGGACCGCCAAUCUGCCAGGGUUAGGACUCUAACCUGACACCUCGGACUUACGCCAUUGACUCCCCGCACAUACUUACUACCAACCGGGGUGCGCACUCAUACAGAACGGGGUAUCCGGCCGGAGUUGCACUCGUAGGCUUCGCGGUCGGAACGACUUAUCCGGCCAGCUAAGUGUUAGGCAUGCGUUCAACAUGACAUGAGGACGCACAACGAAUCGGUCCUUAACCGACACGGACGGGGAUAGAUUCACACCCAAGAUCUCCAUGCCUUGCUGCUGCACUAUCAUCAUCCCACCCGGUCUCAAGUUCAUUAUUAGCACAUGGAUAUUUCCACGAUAGCAAAUAUAGCCAACCGUGAGGAAGUAUCCACCUAUCUCUAGCAGGUGACAGACAAUCACCCGGCUUCUACCGAGCUAAGCAUGGCUAAGCAUCAUUCGAUUCUGGACCUACUUAGGUGAGGUAUGAGGUGGACAAGGUAGUCAUUAUGCAGCAAGGGUGUCAUUUCAACGCCUAACACUUAAUGCGACAAUACAUAACCAUAACCAAUUGAUAGCUGGACAUGGUAACAAAAUAGUAGGAGUCUUAUAAUGCUCCGGGGCUUGCCUUCAAUGUAAGUAGAGGGACGAUGGUCAGGGCACUCCUGCAGAUCCUCCUCCUCAGAUCCUCGAGGUAGCUCCCCUUGUUGAUCUUCCGGCUCCGGCAGCUCGAACUCCAAAACCGUCACUCCCUUGGGUACACCUAUGUAUGCAUGACAAGGCGAUAAACAUAGGGAAUGCACAUAAAAUGCAUAAUGUUAUGAUGACCAGCCAAAGGGACAAGGAACAUGGUGCGAACAUGAGCAUAAGCUUCCAAUCAUCAAGAGAAUCAUGUACACCAAGCAUGUGCAUACUUCUUCUCUGGUAGAGAGGCUAACUAGACAAGCUAAUCAACCCUAGCUACUCCUACUUAGUCACUGGUCUCAUGGGCAGAUUAACUAGUCUCAAGAUUCAGCAAUAACUUAAGCAUCAUUUGGCCAAACUAAACAAAUAGAUACUUUAUGGAAAUCUUAGUAAAUUGUCUACAAUUCACUUUGAGACAUCCCAGAAUAAUUCCCAACCGAAAUAUGCUAAAACAUACAAAGUUGGCUGGCUGUCCUGGAGAAUCCAGAGAGCAAGCACUUUGCAGCAGCUAUUUGUAACAUGCAUAACUUUUAAACUACUUAACCAAAUGUGAAGAAACUUGAACACGAAGUAGAUAAGCAAGUUUGCUACCAGUUUGUUAUAGACAAGUUUCCCAGAAAACAUGAUCUUCAUUUAGUUCUUAAGCAAUUUCUAUCAGCUACACAGAAUUGCUCUAGGAAAGGCAUAAAUAGCAACAAUAAUAUUUUGCACAUAACAAGAAUGUAUCAAAGGGUUAAUCCAAAUGCACCAGUAGAUAGAACAUGCCUAAGAAACACUAGAAAACAUCAUGGCAAGGUCUAAACUCAUUUCUAUCAUCACCUUUUUCAUUUAUUUAAUUAUUAAGGUGAUUUAAUGAACAUGCAUCCCAAGUGCUCCAAGAAUUCUAGGAAAAUUACAGCAAGCUACUUAUGCUAACACAAGUUUACUGUAAAAUUUUCAGGGCACUUGCACAUAAAUAUUGUGAGAUACAAAAAUAACAAGCUAGCAAAGGCAUGCAAGGCAUAAAUGUGAAACCCUACCAAAACGUGUCAAACAACAGAUUUCAGACUUUUCCUAGUUUUUUUUACAUAUGAGUACAACACUCAGCAAGUUUCACCACAAAAGGAGUUAUAACUUAUUUAUUAAAAAUACCACAAGAAACUCCUGUUUGAACAAGAAAUAUUUAUAACUUCACAAUCAGGCCUCCAAAAAUCAUGAUAAAUUUAUCCGAGCCUAUUCAUGUCAUAAGUAACCAUACCCUAAAUUUGCAUGGCCAUCAGAUCAACAGAUCUCCAGAUAUAAUUACCUCCUAUUAAAUCAAGAUUAAAUUAUAUCUAUUUAUUUCUGCAAAAACAUGGUAUGUUUCAUAUUUUUAAUAAAAACUAGAUUACCACAACAACCUAGCAAAAUUGGAACCACACCAUUUGGAUCUGUAAAACUGAAGAUAUGAAUUUUUUCAAAAACAGCAAAGGAUCUGCUGCACAGUGACCAGAGAUGUGAGAGAGAGAGACUGACAGGUGGGAUCCACUGACACACGGGACCCACGCGACAGAGAGACAGAGACAGGGGAGACGCUCGUCGCCGGCGAAACUCGACGACGGUGAGGUCUCGGUUGGAUCCAAGAGCAUCUACGUGUUGCUCUCCUCAAGGCGGACUCGGUGACCUACUUUACCCGCGCUCUACUGGACCCUAGGGUGCUCGCCGUCGUGAAUGGCGGCUCGGCGGCGCUGCGGGCGAUACGCUGGCGUGCACAGCCGAUGCCGUCCCAGUUGACGUUCACGCCGAGCAUCAGUGAGCCAAGGGAAAGCGAUAGGAACAAGAAUGGAGAGAAAUGGUGGAGCAGAGAGGCCUGGCCACGUCGCCGGUGAGCUCGGGCGAAACUCCGGCGAGGGAGAAUGGCUCAGAGCUCGGCAAUGCCGCCUUACCCGUGCUCGACAGUGGCCACGGGGGUGACGCCGAGGUAGAGGAAGCUCUGGCGAAGCUUUUGGCGGGCUGGCUUUGCCGGAGACGGCGAGGGAAGCUCAGGCGAAGCUGUCGUUCCGCGGCGGAGCUCGCCGAGGCGAAAUGGAGAAGGGAGAGAGCGCUGGGGAGGCGAAAUGAGGACGGCCGAGGCUCGGGGUGGCGUCGUGGUGUCCAAGUGAAGGCGUCGGGGCUGACAGGCGGGGUCGCCGUCAACGUACGGCCGCCACGGGUCGUCCACGCAUCGGCCGGCCGAUGACUGACGAAACUGAAUCACGCAAUUCAGUCGUCGCCGACAGUGACUGAAACCCGAUGUUCACCGACGUUUUACUCUCAGCUCACUCGGUGGUUUUGGCUCAAACUUGAUCCUUUGGAUAGAGCUACACGAGUUCUACAAGAUUGCUUAUAGGAUCAAAAUCUAAUUCGGCCUGGAUUUCAUUCUACAAAGCUCCCAAGUACCCUACCUCGAAACUGCGUUGCCUCAGACUUAGGAAAAAUUUGGCUAAGUGUAGAUCAACCCUGAUUUUUGCCUUGUGAGCUAAAUUUGAAUGUGUUCCAAGCAUUUUCAUGAAAAGUCAUCAACAUAACUUUUCUAGCGUAUAAAAAUUACUACAACAUUGCUUUAGAUGUCAUUUACAUGCAAGGUAUCUAACACCAGUUUCAUAAAACACCUUUGAAAAGAGGUCUAGGGGGUCAACUAGGUCAAUCUAGGGUUAACCAUGGCUUAGGGGCAUUUUUGGCCAAAACUUCCAACAUGAACUUUGUUCAAAAAGUUAUUCUAAACAUGACUAAAGUAUUUUGGAAGACAAUGUGCACUUGCAUGCAUUUGUCACCCAUUACAAUCAACCAUAGCAAGUCAUAUAGCAAUUCAAUCACAUAGUGUAUGUAACAAAUGGCAUGUGAUCAUGGUAUGAUGCUCAUGAGUGAUCAUGAUGAUGCUUAUGUUGAUGCAAUGCUCAUGGUUAACAUGCAAGCUAACACUAGGAGUGUUACAACAUCGCUGAGGAUUAUGAACUUAGCAGAGGAUGAAUCGACAACACGCUCGCCCCUCAAUUACGGUGAAGCCAUCAUGGUUCUCCCUGGUACCGAUUCAAAUGAGAACUAGGUCGGACGAUUCUUCGAAACGCUGUAUCAUGGCCUUUCCAAAGAUCAGCGAGCCUAGAUGCCUUAUGAAGAUGCAGAGUCCAGAUUUCCACUUACUUUCCACCCUGCCAAUGACGCACUUAACAAGGACAAUAAUGUGAUGAUGGCAAUUAUUACACCAAGAGCAAUCCCAGUGAGCAACUUUGGCAGCAGAAAGAACACCAACACAACCUAUGAGUUCCACAACCCAUCGACAAUAGCCCGUCAGCUGGCUUUUGGUCAGUUACCAAUUAAACUUUGUUAUGCCGAUGUGGUCAAGCCGAGGGAGGUAUACUUAUCAAAGCCCUCAGCCGAUGCUCUGCUAAAUCAUCCAACUCGUCUUUCAUCAAAGUAGCAUAGUUAUCGGCAUUCAGCUGAUCUUGAAAAGAUAGUCUACUAGAUCCAGUUUUAACCUCCCAUGGCAAUACAGCAUCGUGCCCAUACACCAACUAAUAACGCGAAAAUUUGGUUGAUCCAUGACAAGCCAUCCGAUAUGACCACAAAGCUUCAUUCAACAACGUAUGCCAUCUCCUAGGAUUUUCUUCAAUCUUCCGUUUGAUGAGCUUAAUAAUUCCUUUGUUAGAUGCUUCGGCCUGCCCAUUGGCUUGAGCAUAAUACGGAGAAGAAUUCAACACUUUAAUCCCCAUACCGAUUGCAAAUUCAUCAAACUCUCCCGAUGUAAACAUAGUACCCUGAUCGGUAGUAAUCGUUUGAGGAAUACCAAAUCGGUAAAUAAUAUGCUCUUUCACAAAAUCAAUCAUAUUGGCCGAUGUGACUUUCUUCAAAGGAAUAGCUUCAACCCACUUGGUGAAAUAAUCGGUGGCAACCAAGAUAAACUUAUGCCCUUUGCUUGAUGGUGGGUAAAUCUGGCCGAUUAAAUCAAUAGCCCAUCCCCGGAACGGCCAAGGUUUAAUAAUGGGAUUCAUGGCCGAUGCGGGCGCCCUUUGAAUAUUACCAAAUUUCUGACAUCCUUGACACCCUUUGAAAUACUUAAAACAAUCCUCAUGUAUAGUUGGCCAAUAAUACCCAUUUCUCCUAAUCAUCCAUUUCAUCUUGAAAGCCGAUUGAUGUGCUCCACACACUCCUUCAUGGAUCUCUCCCAUCAAACUUUUAGCUUCAUCAUUGCCUAAGCACUUGAGAAGAACUCCAUCGACUAUUCGAUAAUAUAAUUCAUCCUCGAGGAGCACAUACUUGGUAGCUUGAAACCGAACACGCCUCUCAACCUUCUUAGAUGGAUCAUUUAAAUAAUCAAUGAUCUCUUUUCUCCAAUCAUCGGCAUUCAUUGCCGAUAACGUAUUCAAUAUGGGUUAAUAUCCCGAGGCAUGCUGGGCCAACCGAUUAGCCUCUUCAUUAUGUAACCGAGGAACAUGCUCUAAUUGGAAAUCUUUGAAUUCCCUUAACAGUUGCAUGCUCUUUUUGUAAUAAGUUAUCAGGACUUCACUUCGGCAUUCAUAGCUUCUAGCCAAUUGAUUUAUAACCAGCAUAGAAUCCCCGAAGAUUUCAACAGCGUCAGCCUGAACUUCUUUUAACAACUCCAACCCCUUGAUUAAAGCUUGAUACUCAGCUUGAUUAUUUGCUGACAUGGCAACAAUCGGCAAAGAGAACUCAUACUUCCUUCCCUGAGGGGAAAUUAACACUAUGUCGAUUCCAGCCCCCCGGUCAUAAGUGGAUCCAUCAAAGAAGAACGUCCAAGGCACAAUUUCCAAAGUUUCCACUGUACUGUGAUGUUGAGUCACAAAAUCGACCAUAAUUUGUCCUUUAAUUGCUUUAGCCGAUUCGUAACGCAGAUCAAAUUCUGAUAGUGCCAAAAUCCACUUACCGAUUCUGCCACUCAUAAUCGGCAUAGAUAGCAUAUAUCGGACCACGUCAUCUUUGCAUAUAACAGUGCAUUCAGCCGAUAACAAAUAGUGCCUCAACUUAAUACAUGAGAAAUAUAGGCAUAAACAUAAUUUUUCAAUGGCCGAAUACCUGGUCUCAGCAUAAAUCAAUCUUUUACUUAAAUAGUAAAUCACACGCUCCUUCCCUUCAAAUUCUUGAAUCAAAUCUGAACCGAUGACCAUCCCAUCGGUAGACAAAUAUAAUCUGAAAGGCUUUCCUUGCUGAGGUGGAAUCAAAACUGGAGGAUUUGUUAGAUAAUUCCUGAUCUCAUCCAGAACCAACUGUUGCUCUUUUCCCCAUAUAAACUCUUGAUCGGCAUUUAAUUUAAGUAAAGGACUAAAGGGACGAAUUUUACCAGACAAAAUAGAAAUAAAUCACCGGAUAAAAUUUAUCUUGUCGAUCAGAGAUUGGAGGUCAGUUUUGUUGGUAGGAGCAACUAUCUUGUUAAUAGCAUCGAUGGACCUUCGGCUAAUCUCAAUUCUCCUUUGAUGCACCAUGAAACCAAGAAAUUGCCCUGCCGAUACGCCGAAUGCACACUUGUUAGGGUUCAUCAUUAAACCAUGUUUCCUUGAACAUUCCAAUACUUUUCGCAGAUCGGCAAGAUGUUUUGUGAAAUCUCCAGACUUAACCACCACAUCAUCAAUAUAAAUCUCCACCAGCUUGCCGAUGAACUCAUGAAAGAUAAAAUUCAUAGCCCUCUGAUAGGUAGCACCAGCAUUUUUCAAGCCAAAGGUCAUGACUAUCCAUUCAAACAACCCAACAUGACCAGGACAUCUAAAUGCAGUCUUUGGAAUAUCUUCUUCAGCUAUGAAUAUUUGAUUAUAUCCUGCAUUGCCAUCCAUGAAGCUAAUAAUCCGAUGUCCAGCCACAGCAUCAACUAGUAAAUCAGCAACCGGCAUCGGGUAACCAUCCAUCGGCGUAGCUUUGUUAAGAUUCCUGAAAUCAAUGCAAACUCGAAGCUUCCCAUUUUUCUUGUAAACUGGGACAAUAUUGGAAAUCCAUUCGGCAUACCGACACUGCCGAAUAAACUUAACUUCAAUAAGUUUAGUUAUUUCGGCUUUAAUAUCAAGAAGAAUAUUAGGAUUACAUCGGCGAGCUGGCUGCUGAUGUGGCCAGAAUCCAGAUUUGAUGGGCAACCGAUGUUUAACAAUAGAUCAGUCUAAACCAGGCAUCUCGGUAUAAUCCCAAGCAAAGCAAUCUUUAUAUUCCUUCAAUAAAUCAGUUAACUGCUGCUUACACUCAGAAUUCAACUUAGCACUAAUAAAAGUAGGUCUAGGCUUAUCACCAUUGCCUAUAUCUACCUCUACUAAAUCAUCACCCGAUGUAAACCCCUGGCCAAAUUUUCCAUCAUCGGCGAACCUAUCCAUUAGAACUCCUCAUCAGAACCGACUACUCGGAUCGGUGGAAUUUCACAAUCGGCAACUUUGAGGAAAUCCUUCUCCCAAAUUUCUCCCGAGAUACACCUGGUCCUUUCAUAAGUGUCCGCCUCUGCCGAUGCAAUGACAUAAGAAGAAUCUCCCGGGACAAUCUCAAUCUUGUCACCUACCCACUGAACCAAGCAUUGGUGCAUUGUUGAUGGAAUGCAACAAUUGGCAUGGAUCCAGUCUCUCCCCAGUAGCAGAUUGUAGGCACAUUUUCCACUGAUCACGAAGAAUGUUGUCGACAAGGUUUUGCUGCCGAUGGUCAACUCAACACAUAUUGCCCCUUUAACCGGAGAUACAUUUGCUUCAAAGUCCUUUAGCAUCAUAUCGGUCUUGGUCAAAUCCUGAUGUCCUUUUCUGAGUUUCCGAUAGACUGCAUACGGCAUGAUGUUAAUAGCAGCUCCACCAUCAAUUAAUAUCUUGGUCAUCAGCUGCCCAUCAACUCUUCCUUUGACGAACAGAGCUUUAAGAUGCUGCCUUUCAUCGUCGGCAGGCUUUUCAAAGAUAGCCGUCAUCAGAUCCAGAGCCAACUAGGCUAUCUGGUCGGAAAAAUCCAGCUCCUCAUUAUCACUGGAUGGCGCAAGAAACUCCAUCGGCAACAUAAAUAUCAUGUUAACAUCUGCGAUGCGCCCGGAUGUCACGGCCAAGAGGUGAUCACGCGGAACUUGAGAACACGCCGAGCUUAAGUCGAUGGAUUCCUAAGAACUCGUAAUAAAAAGAAACUAUGAUGAAGUCGUCGAAAAAGUAGAUGCUGGAAUAUGAGUAAAAACUUGCGUUUGAUUGAUUGAUAGAUUGUCUCAUUACAUUGCCCUAGGGUCUAUAUUUAUACCCUGUCUGAAGAGCUACAACCAGACACGACUAGGAUUCGAAUUCCAAACUAAACGGAACCCGUACACAAAACGAAUUCUAAUAACUAAGGAAAACAUAAAACUACCCCCCUGUAUCCGACCGAGGCACCGCCACAAAUCAAUCGGCAGUCUCCACGCUUUUCUUCAGAGUCAUCGGCAGACCUCCUGUUGUUCCGCUAGGCAAAUACUAACACUGAUCAUUGGCACGAACACGUCACCACCUUUGGACUUAGUCACAUUCAAUCGUCUCUUCAUCGGCAACCACCUUCAUCAGCAACCUUCCUGCAGACUAGUUACCGUUGCUUCAUCUGCCGAUCUAUACUUUACCAAUCCCCAGGUACGUAUCAAAAGAUACAUGUCCAAAAAUGGUGUCGACACCAAUAUUCAAAGCAUAAUAAUCAUCACAAACCAUUUUCCUAUACCCUUGUGUCGACGUCUAGACUCGUGGUCUAGACACAAACGAGUAUAAGUAUGUGUGACUACCUAAGCCCAGAUGGUGAUGCAAGUGGAACACAGAGAAUUUAUACUGGUUCGGGCCAAAGAUGCCCUACAUCCAGCGAGAUCGAGGAUCUGUAUUGCCUUGCACCCAAAGGUCCUUGUAGUAGGGGAGUACAAGCAGGUUGCGAGAGAGGGCUAAGUCCCAGGUCUCGGCUUUGUGCGAUGGAUAGAAUGCCGGUUGCUACUCUAUGAGUGAACUAGCUUGGAGCUGUGAAGUGUGUGUGUGUUGCGUGACUGAACUUGUUUGUAGACCUUGUCUUGGUCGUGAGCCCUGGCUCCCCUUUUAUAGCUUCAAGGGGAGGCAGGUAUUUACAUGAAGGUUUGGAGAUUUCCCCUGCUGAGUGGAGGAGUAACAUUCCCGACCCUGUAGAAGCUUGUCCAUCCCGUCCUUGAGGUAUGGCGGACAUUAUGGUUGCUCCUGUAGGGAGUUGCCAAGCCCUGUUGGAGUCAUGGGGGUUGGAUCGGCGAUAGUGCAGCCUGUCAUGUUAACAGUGGGAAAAGAUAGCAAAUAGUGAUGCUGAUUAACGUCCCCCAUUCCCCUUUUACUGUGAGGCGGUACACCACAGUGAAAGGGGUAAGGCUGCAUAGUGAAAGAGGUAAGGCUGCAGUGACCAGGGUGGUUGGAACAGUAGCCACCUUGCCCUGCUGUGGUAUGGGAGUCACCGCGCCUGUCACGUCAUGGGUACAGGCGCCUUGCGUUGGAAGCCUUGCCCUGAUCCGGUGAAGCGGCUUUUGGCGCCCGAGCCCUGGAUGGGUCGGGCGAGAUGGAACUUACGCCCGAGGCCAAGGGGGUCGGGUGAGGCGGUGUCUGCGUCCGAGCCCCGGGGGGUCGGGCGAGACGGAUCUCGCGUCUGAGGCCAAUAGGGUCGGGCGAGCCGCGAUUUGGGCCCGAGAUCGAGGAGGCAGAUGGGCUGGGGCCCGCGUCCUAGUGAUUGUGGAUGACAUGCUUUGUCUUUUGCGAUUUUUAUUGCUCUGAUCUGGGUAUCCCUUUUCAUGGUACCCAACAGUAGCCCUCGAGCCUUUGAAGGGGUGAGGUCACCUCUUCAAAGGUUCAUUCUUAUGGGACCAUUGUUGACCGGGAGCUUUUUUACUUUUCUCCGGAGGGUGCGCGCGAGCGCACCCGCCGGGUGUAGCCCCCGAGCCUUUUGGAGGAAUGGUGUUAUUCCUUCAAAGGAUUUUACCCCUGAGUGAUACAGUCGGGAGUAUUUGAGGGAUAGGUUGCGUGUUCUUUACACGUAGUGCCUGUUCCCAUAGUGCGAGGAAGCCCCCGAGCCCUUUCCCCACAAGGGUCGACCAGGUUCCUUCUCGUCUUAGUAAUUACGUCCCUCAUUCAUCCAUUCGCUCGGAGGAGGGGUGGGUCGCGCUGUACUACCCUCAAUGGGCGAGUAUCGAUGUUCCUCGGGAGCUGCUAGUGGGUAAAUCCAAGUGGAUGUCCGAGCCCUAUUCGAUAAGGUUCGGCUAGUGGCCUUAUGGGCACAUCUCAAAAUACCCGAGGGCAGUCACGGUGGAUGUCGGAACCGUUCGCUAGGUUCCGAGGGCUCGGUGCCUCCCUCGAUGGGAUCCCACUCGUGUGACACCCGCAUGGGUCUCGGAUAUGACUGGUAAAGAUGCGCCGACCCCUUAGGGGGCUUGGUCCUUGGCCUCUAUCAUGCUCAUCUUCAAUCAUCCCUCGCUCAGUCAUCCUAAGGCGACUGUUCAAACCUGUUUUACACAGGUCAGUCCCGCAAUCCUCUGGAACGUAGGUGGCAAUGCCUGGGGAUUUUUUGGCCUUGAAAGGCUUUUUAGACUUGUUUGUAGUAUCGGGGUCGGGCGAGACGGAAUCUGCGCCUGACGGGAACCGCCCUGCGACCUUGGUCAGCAGGGGGUCGAGCGUCGCUUACCCUAGAAGGAAACGCCCUCACAUAACUUUUCAGAGCGCUCCUUUUGAGGUGCGGCGCGUGGGGAAUCGAAAUGGCCGUGCCGUUGUACCCCGUCUGGAUGCGACGUUUCACCUGCGAAAUUAAUGCGCGCGUGCAGCGAGCGUGAGAAUCGGAGGGAGUUGGCGCUUCGAGUUUUUCACCUGGUGGGAAGCUGGCGACGGUUGCUCUUUUUUCUCUUUCGAUCUUGCGUGCGGGCGGUGUGGCCGUGGUACGCUCUCUAUAUAAAAGCAGCCGCAGGGGACUUGGUUUCUUUACUCAUGCUCCUGCGCAAAAAAGCUCUUGUCUCCUGCCCUUUCUCCUGCUGCCAUCUUCUCCACUUCCGCCGUGCAGACGCCCUACUUCACCCAAAGCUAUGGCCGGCGAUGAUGCGUGGCCGCCCUGCAAUGUUACCAGGUCCGUGCUGGAGGCGCGCGUGAAGGCAGGGAUCCUCCGCCCCAUCACGGACGCCAGGCAACCAGAGUGUAUUGUUCCCUCGGCGAAUGACAGGGAGCCGAACCCGCCUCAAGGCUAUGUGGUCUGCUUCCUGUCGUUCUUAGACCGGGGUUCGGGACUCUAGCAAGCCGCUUGAUGUGGGCGAUCCUGCAUCACUACGAGGUAGAGCUGCACAACAUCAACCCUAACUCGAUAAGGCAGGCAGCCGUAUUCGCCACGGUGUGCGAGGGGUUUCUGGGGGUUCCUCCCCACUGGAACCUCUGGCUUCAUCAUUUUAAGGCGGAUAUGUCCGCCCGCUACGUGGGAGGGGAGCAGUUCCGCUGCGAGUUGGCGGUUGCACGCUGCAGCUCCGUCAGCAGCGGUCUGGCCAAUACAUCUGGAGCGCGAUGCCCUCGUCGAACCGGGGGUGGCAGAACAGGUGGUUCUAUAUCUGGAACGACGACGGGCUGCUCCCAGAAUAUACUGGGAAGAUGGUGAAAGAGUGCCCCCAGAAGUGGGUGUGGCGUGCUCCUGCGGAGGAGCUGAAGAGGCUCGCCCCGCUUCUUGCGGGGCUUGAGAAGCUGCGCGACGCCCAAGUCACCACGGCCACGGUGGCGACGGCGUUCCACAAGAGGAGUCUACUCCCGUUGGCGCAGCGGCGAGCAUUCAUGUUCGAGAUGACCCGGAUAUGAAGAACUCCCGGGUGGUGCCGAUGCGCCCUGAAAAGGGCUACAUUUCUCUGGUAAGAGGCUAUUUUUUGCUUUGAUUUCUUGCAUUUGUUCCCCUUUUAUUCCAACCUCAGUCCCCUUUUUCCGUUUGCUUCACAUGGGAUGGGGAUCAUCAGGGAUUCCCUGCCCCCAGUCCCAGAGGACAAGGAGAUCCGGGCCAAGAAUCGGGCCCCGAACGAGGAGCAGAAAAAGGUCAAGGAGGACAAGAAGGCGAAGGCUGCGAGGAAGGCGCAGCGGCGAGAGAUUUCCGCCAAGAACCACUGUGAGGCCGAGAAGGCAGGAGGCCCUCCGCCCGAUUCUCCUGAGACAUCAGUCUCGGAGAUAGAGGGUGGACGAGACAACGCGCAUUGGCUCGACAAGCUGGUGGCGGAGGAGGACGACGUGAUUCCUCCUGCCGGUGGGGGGAUCGAGAUCCCAAAGAGGUCGAGGACCCGAGGGGGGUCGGAGGCCCCCGUGGGGUCCCAGGCGCCGGGGGGCGGGCAGACCGUCCCCCACAUUAUUGUACACGACGAGGAUGGCGCCCCUUAGGAGGGCUCAGUCCCCGUGGGUCCCCAAGAGAGGGAGAAGGCGUCGAGGGGCGAGUCCGAGGUGCCCCCUCAACCGGAAGCGCCGGAGGGCCCAACAGAGCCCCGCUCGGCGCACGGAAUUGAGGCAGGCGACUCGGCGGAGGCGCCACGGACCGAGACCACCGUCGAAGUACCUGCGCUGUCUGCUAGGGAGACGGGGGUCCAGCCAGCGGCUCCUAGCGCUCUGGGAGGCCUACAGGGAGUUUCGAGCUCCCAAAAAAGGCAGCUCCCCGAGCGAGAUGCAUAUAGGUUUUCUAAUUUCUCUUUGGAUUUUUUGUUUUUCUCUUUCUUCUGACUUGUGUUGUCCUCUUAGCCGGAAGCAAAUGUCGGCGCCAGUGGCGCUGGCCCCCCUGAAGGCCGUGAAGAGGGGGCCGCAGUCGACCCCCGGGUCGGCGAGGCCCAAGUCGCCGCCCCCCUGAGCCGCGAAGAGGGGGAGCCCCGUCGGGUAUGAGAGGGGCAGGAGAUGGGGACGCCGAGGCCCCAAGGGCUGCAGGAGACAAUCCUCACCCCCGGGGCUAUGCCUCCUCCGGAGGAUGCCGAUCUGGGAGGCGCGGCUCGGCCUGCGCAGAUCGAGGAGGGCCGGGCCAUCGUGGCGUCUGAUGUGGCGUCCCUCGGGGGUCCUCACGGGAAGGGCCCUGCCCGACCUAAGGCUCCCGCGGUAGGAGGGGAAGGCGACGCCCGAUGGGGCAAGAGCCCCGUGUUCUGGCCCAACCUCGACGACGCAGAGGGAGGGGCCAGAUUUGUUCUGGACGACCCAUCGGAGGCUUACCUCUGGCAGGGUCUGGAAGCGUGCGGGCGUGCCAGCGUCGAGGCCAUCAACCGAGCUUCUGAGCUCGUGAGCCGAGACAUGUACAAGUUGCCCUAGGUGAGGCUUCCUCCCAUGUUGUGAGGUGUUUUUUGUUCUAUUUUGUAGUACUGACUCCGUAUUCAACUUCUGAUUUUGCAGGCGCUCAAGGCUAUGUCCCUAGAGAAGUCAGUUUUCCUUCGCGGGGAAAGAGACGCCUCGGCGACCUGCGAGAAUGAGAGGACCGCUAGGGACGCGAUCGAGGGGGAGCUCGCAAAGGAAUGCGAGAUCUCUACCGAGCUUCGGCAGAAGUGCUCGGCCCUCGCAACUGAGGCUCAGGAGGCCCGGGAAAAGGUUGCCCCCUGGAGAAGAGGGUCGGCGACCUUACCCAGGAGUCCGAAGUGCAGAGGGCGGCGGCUGAGGGGUACAAGGGCGAGGUCGCUCGGCUAGAGGCUCUACUUGCCAAGAAGGACCUUGCCCUAAAUGAGGCCCAGACCGACCUCUCCGCAGCUCAGAGUGAGGUGGCCCGUUGGCACCGGAGCUCGGCGGAGAAUGAGAAGCGGGCCAAGGGUAAGAAUCGUGUCUUUUCCCUUAGCUCUUUUUAUAUUUGGAUUGUCUUUCCUGACUUUCUUUUUUGUUCUGUUUUUCAACAGAGUCGAAGAGGAACAUGGCCGAGGUAGCCUCUACCGCCGAGGCCCUGCAGAGGUCCCUCGACGUCGAGGUCACGGUCCGCUUGGCUCUAGAAGCCGUGGUUGCCUCGGCGUGCGAGGGACUCGGGGUGUUGGCGUCGGGAUCGUCGCUGCGGAGUCGAGUCGAAGCUCUCUACUCCCGGGCCGGGGAGACGAUGAGGGAGGCGCUCCACGCCGGGGUAAAGAAAGGCCUGGCGGCGGUGAGCUCUCACUAUGUCGGCAUUGACCUGCCGGAGGUCUGUGAGGGCUACGUCCUCCCUGACGAUGAAAUGGAGGCCCAGGAGGAGGUGCAAAGACUUGAAGAUGCCGCGAAUGCCUCGAGGGAUGCCUUGGCCGCCUUUUUGGAUGCCGAGGUGGAGCUUCCUUCUCUCGGCGCUCAGGGCCUACGCAGGCAGGGCAAUAAGGCCCUUAAGUUAGCUUUUUCUUUUUUUUGCAAAUGGCAAAGGCCAGUGCGCCUUGUAUUGUGUAUAUAACAUUAAUACUAAGUAUGAAUGUUUAUAUUAUUGUUCCUUUUAAGCUUUUUCUUAAUUAUCUUGUUUUCUUUUUCCUUAUGCUGACCCGACCUCGGCAGCACGGGGUCGGGUGAGCUACAUAGGGUCUGCACUUAGUCCGAGUGCCCGAGCAUAAGUCGUUCUUCUUUUCCUUAGAAAAUUUCAGAAGUCUGAAUCCGCCCCCCGAUCAUAGGGGGUGAGUAGAGGUCGUCCUUGCCCGUGGGCGCGGAUCUUUCCUCGGGCUCAUGCCUUAAGGUUUUAGGGGAUGGAUCUGCGGUUUCUUAAAUCCUUUUUAGGAAAGGGAAGAAAGACCCUUGGUCAGGAUUCUUUUAACUUGUGCGAAAAAAGUAUAAAAGAUUCGGAGUUGCCACAGGGGGUUCCCCCCACGUAGCCCCCGAGGGAGGCUCGAACUAUGCAAGGCAGGUCCGAGGCUUACUCAAAAGAAACGGUCAUAUAACUUAAACUUUCAUUAUUCUUUCAAGGUGAUGAACAAAUGGAAAUUUUUACAAAAUCCUAAGGGUAGAAGCGACGUAGCUGUUCUAUGUUCCACGCGUUCUUGAAGACCUCCCCUGCUUCGUUGGAGAGCUUGUAGGUGUCGGGUCGGAGGACUUCGGCGACGACGACAGGUCCUUCCCAGGGGGGUGUGAACUUGUGACGACCCUUGUAGCUCUGCCUCAGCCUCAGCUCCAAGUCGCCGACUUGAAAGGCUCGGCCUCGGAUUCGUCACGCGUGGUAUCGGCGGAGGGCCUGCUGGUACCUGGAAGAGUGUAGGAGGGCUACAUCUCUGGCUUCAUCCAGCUGACCCAGCGCGUCUUCUUGGAACGUCUUACAGCUAUUUUCGUCAUAGGCUUGUACCCUUGGAGACCCGUACUCAAGAUCCGUGGGGAGGACGGCUUCCAACCCAUAGACCAUGAAGAAUGGGGUGAAGCCUGUGGCUUGGCUUCGGGAAGUCCUUAGACUCUAGACCACGGCUGGUAGCUCUUUGAGCCAUCUUUUUCCGAACUUGUCCAGCCGGUUGAAAAUCCUAGGCUUAAGUCCCUGGAGGAUCAUGCCAUUGGCACGCUCCACCUGACCGUUUGUCUUUGGGUGAGCCACUGCUGCCCAGUCCACACGUAUGUGGUGUCUGUCGCAGAACUCUAGGAAUUUUCACCCGAUGAACUGUGUGCCGUUAUCAGUGAUUAUGGAGUUUGGCACUCCAAAUCGGUGGAUGAUAUCCGUGAAGAACAGCGCUGCUUGUAAGGCCUUGAUCCUUGUGAUGGGUCGGACCUCAAUCCACUUGGAGAAUUGUCGAUUGCGACAAGCAAGUGGGUGAAGCCCCCGGGUGCCUUUUGCAGAGGCCCGACGAGGUCUAGUCCCCAGACAGGAAAGGGCCAGGUGAUAGGGAUCGUCUGCAGAGCCUGAGCGGGGAGAUGAAUCUGUCGAGCGUAAAACUGGCAUCCCUCACAGGUCCGUACGAUCUCCGUGGCGUCAGCCACGGCGGUGGGCCAGUAGAAGCCUUGCCGGAAGGCAUUUCCUACUAGAGUUCGAGGCGCGGCGUGGUGGCCACAAGCCCCCGAGUGUAUGUCCUGCAGGAGCUUGAUUCCCUCCCGACGUGGGAUGCAACGCAUAAGGAUGCCCGAGGGGCUACGCUUGUACAUUUCUCCGUCGAGGAGGACAAAAGUCUUGGCGCGACGAGCCACAUGCCUUGCCUUAGCCUGGUCUGAGGGCAGAGUGCCAUCGAUGUGGAAGCCUCGGGGUCGGGGCCUGGUUCGCUUGGGGCUUAUCCGACCCCCUGUCGUCCUUAUAGUCGACAAAAGGCUUGUAGAGGUCGCUGACAAAAACAUCCGGGGGAACCGUGGCCCGCUCGGAUGCCAUCUUGGCGAGCGCGUCGGCGGCCUCAUUGUAUUUCCUUAACACGUGGUUAAGCUUGAGGCUGUCGAUUUUUUCCUCCAGGCGUCGGACUGCUUUGCAGUACGCGUCCAUCUUGGGAUCGUGGCAGCUAGACUCUUUCAUGACUUGGUCGAUGAUGAGUCUAGAGUCGCCUCAGACGUCAAGCCGUUUGAUCCCAAGCUCGAUCAUGAUGUGGAGACCAUUGACGAGGGCCUCGUACUCCGCCACAUUGUUUGAGGCGGGGAAGUGGAGUCAGAUUGCAUAUCGCAUCCUUACCCCGAGGGAUGAGAUGAAGACGAGGCCAGUGCCGGCCACGGUUUUCAUCAAAGACCCGUCGAAGUACAAGCUCCAGCACUCGUGCUGGAUCUGUGGUGGAGGGAGUUGGGUCCCUGUCCACUCAGCGACAAAGUCCGCUAGGACCUGGGAUUUUAUAGCUUUCCGAGGCUCAUAGGUGAUCCCGUCACCCAUGAGCUCUAUAGCCCAUUUGGCAUUCCUACCAUUAGCCUCGCGGUUCUUAAUCACUUCCCCCAGAGGGAAAGAUGACACUACCGAGACCAGAUGAGACUCAAAAUAAUGGCGGAGCUUGCGUCGGGCCAAGACUACUGCGUAGAGUAGUUUUUGGAUUUGGGGGUAUCGGGUCUUUGUGUCGGAUAGUACUUCACUGAUGAAGUACACCGGUCUUUGGACCGGCAGGGCAUGCCCUUCUUCCUUCCUCUUGAUCACGAUAGCUGCACUGGCCACCUGAUCAGUGGCUGCGACAUAGAGAAGCAGUGGUUCCCCCUCGGUGGGGGGCACCAGAAUGGCAGGGUUGGUGAGCAGAGCCUUGAGCUUGUCAAGGGCUUCCUGGGCCUCGGGGGUCCAGGAAAAAUGCUUGGAUUUCCUAAGUAACCUAUACAGACGUAGUACUUUUCCCCGAGACGAGAGAUGAAAAAACUUAGGGAGGCUAGACAUCCCAUGACUCUCUGUACUCCCUUUAGGUUAUGAAUUGGGCCCAUGUUUGCGAUGGCUGAGACCUUUUCUGGGUUGGCCUCGAUCCCUCGCUCAGACACAAUAAACCCGAGGAGCAUGCCUCGGGGGACCCCGAAAAUGCAUUUUUCGAGAUUGAGUCUGAUCCCCUUUGCCCUGAGGCAUCGGAAUGUUUAUUCCAAGUCAGGAACUAGGCCGCUUGCUUUCCUGGAUUUGACAACAAUGUCGUCUAUGUAAGCCUCUACCGUUUUGCCUAUGAGGUCCCCAAAGACCUGGAGCAUACAUCGCUGGUCUAUAGCCCAUGUGUUCUUGAGGCCAAAGGGCAUGGUUACGUAGCAAUACAUUCCGAAAGGGGUGAUGAAAGAAGUCGCGAGCUGGUCGGACUCUUUCAUCUUGAUUUGGUGGUAACCGGAAUAAGCAUCAAGAAAAGAUAAACUUUCACAUCCCGCGGUGGAGUCAACUAUCUGAUCAAUAUGAGGUAAUGGAAAGGGGUUCUUAGGACAUGCUUUAUUUAAACUAGUAUAGUCUACAUACAUCCUCCACUUUCCAUUUUUCUUUUUGACUAGUAUAGGGUUAGCUAACCACUCGGGAUGGAAUACCUCCUUGAUGAAUCCGGCCGCCAGCAGCUUGUGGAUCUCCUCCCCGAUGGCCAAGCGCUUCUCCUCAUCGAAUCGGCACAGGCGUUGCUUCACGAGCUUGGAGCCGGCUUGGAUGUCCAAGGAGUGCUCGGCGACUUCCCUCGGUAUGCCAGGCAUGUCCGAGGGACUCCACGCAAAUAUGUCAACAUUUACGUGGAGAAAGUCGACGAGCACUACUUCCUAUUUGGGGUCGAGGCUGAAGCUGAUCCUCAACGCCCUACCCUCAGAGGUUCCGGGGUCGAGGAAGACUAGCUUGGUCUCCUCCGCCGGCUCGAAGCUCCUGGCGUGACGCUUGGGGUCGGGGAUGUCCUGGUCGCAGUCGCCGAGGCUGGUGAGGAUUGCUAGAGACUCGGCUAGAGCCUCGGCCUGCUUAAUGCACUCGACGUCACACUGAUAGGCGUGCUGACUGGUCGUGCUGACGGUGAUGAUGCCUUUUGGCCCUGGCAUCUUGAUCUUGAGGUAGGAGUAGUUGGGGACGGCCAUAAACUUGGCGUAGCAUGGUCGUCCUAGGAUCGCGUGGUAGGUUCCUAGGAACCCGACCACGUCGAAAGUGAGAACCUCCCGUCUGAAGUUAUCGGGGGUCCCAAUGCAGACGGGCAGAUCAAUCUGCCCGCGGGGGUGGGAACGAUGUCCCGGCACCACUCCGUGGAAUGGUGAUGUGUCGUUCCUCAGCCGGGACUUGCUGAUCCCCAUGAGGGCCAGAGUCUCGGCAUAAAGGAUGUUGAGGCCGCUGCCUCCAUCCAUGAGCACCUUGGUGAGAUGAGUCUCGGUGAUGAUGGGGUCGACGAUCAGAGGAUAGCUCCCGGGAUUGGGGAUCCGAUCCGGGUGAUCCUAUCGGUCGAAAGUGAUCGCGCUCUCGGACCACUUGAGGUACGAGGGCAUGGCUGUGCUGACUGCGCAAACUUCUCGGAGUUCGUGUUUCCUCUGACUCGCGAUGAGGCGAGCCGCACAUCCCCCAAAGAUCAAGAGGCAGUUCUUGACUUUGGGGAAGCCUUCCCCCUGAGGGUCGUCGUCCUUGGGGGGCUCUUCAGAGCCCUCCUUGGUUAUGAUGUCGGAGUAAUACCGACGCAGGACAGUGCACUCCUCAAGGGUGUGCUUGGUCGGUCCCCUGUGAUAGGGGCACGGCUUCUUCAACAUCUCGUCGAAGAGACCAGGGCCAGCAGGAGCCCACUUUGGGUUCUUGCGAUCUGCCGCGGUGACUAGGUUGUCGUCCGACUGACCCUGCCUCCGUUUGUCACCCUUCUUCUUCUUUUGGGGUCGUGGGAGCCUGAGGCCUCGGUAGCCUUGGCCUUCUGUUUCCCCUUGGCUGCGCCGUCAGAGAAAAUGGCACCAACUGCCUCUUCGCCUGAGGAAAAGUUGGUGGCGAUGUCGAGCAGCUGGCUGGUGCUCGUGGGGGUCUUGCGACCGAGCUCGCGUACCAGUUCCUUGUAGGUGGUACUGGAGAUGAAGGCUCUGAUGAUGUCGGAGUCCGUGAUGUUGGGGAGCUCGGUGCAUUGCUUGGAGAAUCGCCUAAUGAAGUCUCAGAGGGACUCAUCGGGCUUCUGCCGGCAGCUCCUGAGGUCCCAGGAAUUCCCAGGGCGCACAUACGUGCCCUGGAAGUUCACGACGAAGAUCUUGACCAGGUCGGCCCAGUCGUGGAUCAUGCGCUCAGGGAGAUGCUCAAGCCAAGCUCUGGCCAUAUUGGCCAGGUGCAGUGGGAGGUUGCGGAUGAUGAGCAGGUUAUCGUCUGCUCCACCUAGCUGACACGCUAGGCGGUAAUCCGCCAGCCAGAGCUCAGGGUUGGUUUCCCCUGAGUACUUGGUGAGGUUAGCGGGCUAUCAGAAUCGUGCCGGGAACUUGGCCUUGCUUAUGGCCUCGCUGAAGACACGGGGGCCCGGAGGCUCUGGCGACGUGCUACGAUCGUGGUUGGGGUCAUAUCUUCUGCCUCGGCGCGAUCGAUAGCGUUGAGAUUCGGCCUCAUCCCUUUCACGCCGUCUGGCCUCGAGGGUGGCCCGGACGUCCGAGUCGGCCCCGACGCGCUCGUGGACAGAUGGGGCCCUGUUGCCCCCUUGCGGGUUAGGGGGCGGCGGACCCUGCACCGUUAGUGCCUUGUUAGGAGGGGGUCGGUCCCCUUGGCGUCUCGUGUCGUGGGACAGUGAUGCAGAACUUUCUGCGUUCUGCACCACAGCCUGCUCCAGGAGACCACGUAGCCCCUGGCACACUCUUCUCCCCUCGGGAGUCGAUGGCUCUGGCAUCGCUCUGAGGAGGAGUGCAGCAGCCAUCAUGUUUUGGCUGACCGUGCUGAAGACUGGGGGGUUGUCACCCCCUUCGUCCUUGAUGAUACGGCGGUCAACGUCCCAGGCGCGGCGUCUGGCCUCGCCCCCAUCCCCACAACCGGACGGGUCUUGGACCAGGGUCUCGCGGAGUUGGCGGAGGCGUUCGCACUCUUUUUCGUGCCUGGCCUCCAGCUCAUUGAGCUGCUCGAGGUCAGGGCACUGUCCUCCUACGGGGGCUGAUGCUACUCCGCGGGCUCCAGGAUGGGCCCCGGGAGUCGGGUUGGGAGGCGGAGUGGUGUUCCCCUGCCUAGAGGGUCCUGCACCCCCUUGGGCAUUGGGGGUCGCUCCUCCAACCUCGAGGUUGAAACACUCACGUGAAGGGUCAUACCCUUUAUCGUCGGAGUCAGAGUAGCCGAGGCAGUAGUUGCAGGCCUCCAAAAAGCGCAUGAAAGUCUUCAGGUCGCCACACCCGAAAAAAUCAGCGCCAGCCCACUUGUCAUCGCCUGAGGUGGGAUCCUCAGGGUACGACGAUACGGGCGGUGAUGCGAUAAGGUCCAGGGUAGACCUGAGAUGGUGCCCUGGAAGAUCCGCGUACGCACUUAGCGAAGUGCUCAUGGAAGAGGCGUAAGUGGUGGUUGUGCUCUCGAGCCCCAGAGGGAGAUCAGGAGGUGCCGCUGUCUUUCCACCACCCGUGGAUGAGGCCCCUUUGUCCCCCUUCUAGGGAGUGGGUGGGAGCCGUGCCUUCCCCUUUGAUCGGGGAGGAACAGGGGGUCGUGAUGAUCCCCUGUUGGUCUGUGGAGCAGAGCUUGACGCUCUGCAGGCCCUUCCUCUAGCGCGUGUCGAGCCGGAGGAGUGGGCGAUCUGGUGAGGAAUAUGCGGGGGGAGGGCCGGACGGACCCUCGCCUCAGUGGUAGGGUCAGAGAUCCUGGACCUCUGACGCCCUUGCCGGGCAGCCCCCGCAUGGUGUCCCAAGCGCCUCCCACGCACUGACUGUGGUGGGAUCGGCUCAGGGCGAGGCUCGAUGUCACCACGUGGCGGGAGGAGGACCAUGUCAUAGCCGGAGCCGAGAGACAUGAACUCAAAACUCCCAAACAUCAUGAUUGUGCCGUGGCGGAGUGGGUGAAAUCCGUCUGCCAUCCUGGCCUUUCCCAGUAGGGAAAGAUAAAUGCUACGCAAAAGGCCCCUACCUGGCGCGCCAACUGUCGACGUCUAGACUCGUGGUCUAGACACAAACGAGUAUAAGUAUGUGUGACUACCUAAGCCCGGAUGGUGAUGCAAGUGGAACAUAGAGAAUUUAUAUUGGUUCGGGCUAAAGAUGCCCUACGUCCAGUGAGAUCGAGGAUCUGUAUUGCCUUGCACCCAAAGGUGCUUGUAGUAGGGGAGUACAAGCAGGUUGAAAGAGAGGGCUAAGUCCUAGGUCUCGGCUUUGUGCAAUGGAUAGAAUGCCGGUUGCUACUCUAUGAGUGAACUAGCUUGGAGCUGUGAAGUGUGUGUGUGUUGCGUGACUGAACUUGUUCGUAGACCUUGUCUUGGUCGUGAGCCCUGGCUCCCCUUUUAUAGCUUCAAGGGGAGGUAGGUAUUUACAUGAAGGUUUGGAGAUUUCCCCUGCUGAGUGGAGGAGUAACAGUCCCGGCCCUAUAGAAGCUUGUCCAUCCCGUCCUUGAGGUAUGGCUGACAGUCUGGUUGCUCCUGUAGGGAGUUGCCGAGCCCUGUUGGAGUCAUGGGGGUCGGAUUGGCGAUAGUGCAGCCUGUCAUGUUAACAAUGGGAAAAGAUAGCAAAUAGUGAUGUUGAUUAACCUCCCCUAUUCCCCUUUUACUGUGAGGCGGUACACCACAGUGAAAGGGGUAAGGCUGCAUAGUGAAAGAGGUAAGGUUGCAGUGACCAGGGUGGUUGGAACAGUCGCCACCUUGCCCUGCUGCGGUAUGGGAGUCACCGUGCCUGUCACGUCAUGAGUACAGGCGCCUUGCGUUGGAAGCCUUGCCCUGAUCCGGUGAAGCGGCGUUUGGCGCCCGAGCCCUGGAUGGGUCGGGCGAGACGGAACUUACGCCCGAGGCCAAGGGGGUCGGGCGAGGCGGUGUCUGUGUCCGAGCCCCGGGGGGUCGGGCGAGACGGAACUCGCGUCCGAGGCCAAUGGGGUCGGGCGAGCCGCGAUUUGGGCCCGAGAUCGAGGAGGCAGAUGGGCUGGGGCCCGGGUCCUGGUGAUUGUGGAUGACUUGCUUUGUCUUUUACGAUUUUUAUUGCUCUGAUCUGGGUAUCCCUUUUUAUGGUACCCAACACCUUGCCUUCCUUGCAUGACUUUGCCUAUUUGAGAGUGGUGUUGCACUGCUUCCAUUACUUUCAUCAUCUUCAACUAUGAUGCCAUCUGUGUCACGUUGCUCGACAAAUGCCACUGCACACAAGGUUGAAUGCUUCGGUUAUUUAAAAAUAGGAGUAACAUACAUUUGUUGCAAAAGGAAAAUUACUUACUAAUUUCAGCAAUGUCCCCUUUCAUCCUUAAAAACUCCCUGUACGUGUGGACUGUUGCAUCCCUAAAGUCAUCCUCUAAAUCUGUUAGUCACGAAAACUAUGUUAGAUAAGGUUUAGCUUCUAUAAAGAUGUUAAGAUUCUGAAUAAUACAAUGCAUACACAGAAACAUUGAUGGUAUACCUUUGGAUUUCUCCACUGGUAGCUUUUCUAGCCAGACCUUGUAUUCAUUGAAUACAUCAUGCAUAAACCGAUGCUCAUGUUCUCCGGGCUGCUGCCUUGGUCGCUUGAAGGGGAGUAUGCUGACUGGUUGUGUUGUCUCUUGCUGCUGCGAGAGUACUAGUCUAAUGUCCUUCUCCAUUUCGUUGUCUUUUAUCAUAAUCUCUGCAUGUUUCAUAUAAUCGAUGGGCUGUAGAGUAGCUACAUCUCGUCCACAACGCUUCUUGUAGUAUACAAAGUCACGGGCAGCAUAGCCAAGCUGGUCCUUAAUAGAUGUCAAGACUGAGAAUUUUAUAGCAGGCCUUUCUACUUUGAACAUUACAUACUCAUAAUCUGGUAGUCCAUUCUUGCAGUGAACAUAAAUAGUCCAGAUUUCACCCGUGCCACUGCAGUCAUAGAACAAUGGUUCAUAAAAGAACAAGUUAAAAAGGUGCAGUAUUUUCCAUUGAUACAAACUUAAAUUCAACAAGAACUAUUCACAGGAGUUAUUUCAGGGUAGUAAUCUAAAUCUGAAAUUUCAGGGUGUUGUGUUGAAAUUUCAGGGUACUUUGAAUCUGAAUCACUGCAGUUUCACGACACCUUAAACCCACCACCAGAACAAAAAAUUUACAGCAACCCAAGCAUGCAAAUAAAUAGCAGCUAGUCUAGUUCAAAAUAAAUCAGCACUAGUGUGAUACUAACACUUAGUACUUUAUUUCCCAUCAGACAAUGAAUCAAUUAGAAAUGAGCAAAAAACUUUCAAUUAUUUAGACCAUGAAAUCAUAGCAGAGGUUUGCUUGUACUGAAUAAUUCAAUCAUAAUCAAUUUAGAAAAAUUACGAAAGUAUACCCAAAACCCUAAUUAAGACCACAUAUAGUUCACACCCUAAGGGCACGUACGGUUCCAACAGAAUCUAGUGCUCGAACCGAUCCGGCCAGGAUCAUUGUUGUAUUUAACACGGCUAACAAUCACCGGGAAGAGUUCCGGCUGAAAAUCAUCGUAAACAGAACGGGCCCUAAUUAACAAAGUAAUCGUUCCCCUUGGCUGUGGCACUGCUAUGGUGCAAAAAACAUGAAUCAAACAAACUAGAUUAAGCGAACAAUGUACCUGGGGGUAUAUGGGCAAGGGAACCCAUUUUCAUCUUCGGUUUCAAGGGUGGCUUCAGUAUAUUGAGAGGCGCCCAAGGAGGUGCCGUCGUUUCUGGUGCUCAUGCCCAGGGAUGGAAUCGACGUCAUCCUCGCUGGAGGCAUCGUGGGGGGUGUCCUGGUACUAGGUGUUGUUGAUGGUGUCUUCGAUGGCGGCGGCGGCGGCUCCAUGGAAGUCGCAGUCUAUGUGUCCUGGCCGAUCUAAUUUGGGGUCACGGGAGGGGAGGGGAGGAGUUAGAUUAGUAUAUGGCGGGUUAUUUAUUUUUUCCAUGUAAUUGGCGCGCGCGGUGGGAAGGGUCCGGAACCAAAUUUUCUGGCGCGUAGGGAAAUUUUGGCAAUCAAAUUAUGGCAAGAGUACUCCAACAAUAGUUUUCAGUUUCCGGUAAAUUUGAAAGAUAGCCAAAUAGCAUAUGUAUUUAUAAAUAUUACUAAAUCACAUAUAUAUAUUUAUUUGACAAUAUUUUCUAUUAAUUUUUUGAAGCAUAAUAUUGUUCAUCAAUAUCAUGAGUUACACAAGUGACACGUAUUAUUCAGUUGGUCGACACAUCGUUCCUGGUAUGGCACAUGACAUGGCAGUACAUAUGAAGUUGUUCGUCGAUGUGUCGUGAUCGGUAUGGCAUCACGGAAACGUGUUGAUUACGAUCAGACACUCGGUGCCAUAUGACAUAGCAUUGGAUGGCAUAUGACAUGGCACUCGAUAGGAUGAGACUACAUAUGAAGUUGUUCGUCGAUGUGUCGUGCUCGGUAUGGCAUCACGGAAACUUAUUGAUUGUGAUGGGACACUCAGUGCCAUACAACAUGGCAUUGGAUGGCAUAUGACAUUGCACUUGAUAGGACGAUACUACAUAUGAAGUUGUUCGUUGAUGUGUCGUGCUCGGUAUGGCAUCACGGAAACUCAUUGAUUGUGAUGGGACACUCAGUGCCAUACAACAUGGCAUUGGAUGGCAUAUGACAUGGCACUUGAUAGGACGAGACUACAUAUUAAGUUGUUCGUCGAUGUGUCAUAAUCGUUAUGGCAUCACGGAAACUUGUUGAUCAUGAUCAGACACUCGGUGCCAUAUGACAUAGCAUUGGAUGGCAAAUGACAUGGCACUCGAUAGGAUGAGACUACAUAUGAAGUUGUUCAUCCAUGUGUCGUGCUCGGUAUGGCAUUGUGGACUGGAAACUUGUUGAUCAUGAUCGGACACUUGUUGCCAUACGACAUGGCACUAUGAUAGGACGAGAAUACAUGAAAUAAUUGGUCAAUGUGUUGUUCUUGGUAUUUCACCAUGAAAACUAAAAAUUGCGAUAAAUUUUGAGAGAAAUAAUUUGCAAACAAAACUAAAGUGUUAGCACAAAGGUGUUAGAGAAAUAAUUUGCAAAAAAAACUAGAAAGUGUUAGCACAAAGGAGUUAGAGAAACAAUUUUGAAAAAAGAGAAACUAAAAAAUUUGGCCUUUCUUGGGCCUGCCAAGGUCCAACAGGCCUGCCAGGCUCGACCAGCAAAGGGAGCCCAGCAGAGCCACCGUGGCCAAGCAGGCCCAUGAUAAGCACAGAUAUAGUUUCACACACAUGUCAAGGAGUUCGACCUGCAUCAGUCGCUCGAGCUUUUAAGCAUAGCAUCGCUUCACUGAAUUCCCGAGGUGGUACUAAGUGGCAAGCGUAAAAUGACCUGAACAAAUAUCAUUUACGAACUAGUAAUGGGCCGGCCCAAUCGACCUGUGAAGCCUUCUCAUUGUCCACCUGUGAAGCCUUCCCCUUCUCCACCCAUGAACCAUUCACCUUCGUCAUUCGUCAACUUCACCACUCACGCGGUGGCGGCGUCAAGGCGAACUCUUCUCCACGGCGGCGGCGGCAUCGAGGCGGGCUGAUCUCCAUAGCGGCGGCGGCCGCGGCCAACAUGGCAAGAAGCAAGCGCGGCCACAACGCUCGGACCCAAGCGCGCAACUCGCGCGGGCAGUUCUGCUCUGAGCCGCGGGUGAGAUUCAUCUACUCCGACUCUGAGUUGGACUAUGACUCCAAUCUGGUGACUCCAGCCCCGACUCUGACCAUGGCGAAGACGAAGAAGAAGGUAACAUUCUUCUUCUAUGUGCAUUUCACUACCUCUAUGUAAGUAGAAAUUAGAUAAUCUGCUUUUAGAUCCUAGGGGGUCACAUAUCUUGUACAGUAUACUUUUAUAAUAGAAACUAGUUUUAUUAUCUGCUUAAUAAUAAAAUUCUUGUUUUAAAUAGAAACUAGUUUUAAUAUCUGCUUAAUUUUUUUACUCUGUUGUUUUUGUACCGGGAUACAGUUACAGCAGCAAAAUGCAUGGUGAAAUAAGAAUGUCUGUCUCUAUUUGUCUAUUCACAAUCCACUCUAUCAAGCCAAACUGCAUGCCACUGAUGCGGUGCUCUAAUACCCGGAGAGAAUGAUUUCUAGGACUAAUCUAUUGGUUGGCAUCAAUUGGGUUUGGGUUUACUAGGGCCCAUAGUGUUCUAUAAAAUAAAAUAAAAACCAGAGGCCCCCGCACAUCAAAUGUCAGGUUAUAUUUUCAUCCACCCAUAUAUCCCAUCCUAAAAUCCAAGCAUCACCUUGUUUGAAUGUCAAUGUAUCCAUCUCCAUGUAUGUUGGAAUGAAUUUUAGUUUAAAUUUAACAUCAAACCACCUCAACAUGUAUAAAUUAAGGUGGAUAUGUAUGGACAUCCAAGCAACUUGGGUCCAAAAUGGUGAUGAGCUGGCUGCUAUUUAUACUUCUGCUAUUGUUUUUCAUUCACCUGUAACAAAAUGGCAUUGGAAUUUUUCUAUAUGGAAUUUUUAUCUGCUUAAUAAUAAAAAAAUUAAGCAGAUAAUAAAAUUAUAGGGGGUCACAGAUCCUGUGCAGUAUUCUAUAUGGAUUUUUUGUUAUAUGAGGACUGUUGUUGCCUCUAUGAGUAAAGGAUGUAGACAAUUCUUGUUUUCUUAUUUUUCGAGUGGCCAUGUUGACAAUUUUGAUUAACUAAUAGUAGACUGGUUCUCUAUAUGGCUUUGUUCUGACAACAAUUCACUAGCAAUCAGAAACGAGUUUGGUGCAUAUAUAGUUGGUUCUGGACAAAUUUGUGUUUUUUUUUUAAAUUUAGGUUCAAAAUGUGCUCAUCAUGUGGCUGCUCAACAUGUUAUCUGUAUGCUUCGUACUUAAAUUUGUGUUAUCUUAUACUGUCAACAUGUGGCUGCUAUUUAUAUCAGCAUCACAUACUUUCUCGAGACUACUUCCUUUCCUAUUGUAGUCAAUAUUCGCAAAUAUACUGAGCCCAGAUGGUGGCUCACUAGCAGCAGCGCUUUCAUGACGCUCUGGACGAUUCAGCUUGGUACUCAUAUUUUCAAAAAAGUGGGAACAAAAUGUGAGGCACUCCUCAGAUAUAUACCCCUCUGCAAUUGAACCUUCAGGUUGUGCUUUGUUUCUCACAUAGCCUUUAAGAGUGCGAAGGUACCUCUCAACUUGGUACAUCCAUCUAUAUCAAACAGGGCCUGCAAGUCUAGCCUCAUCAGCAAGGUGAACUGGUAGGUGCAUCAUAAUAUCAAAAAAAGCAUGCGGAAAUAUCAUCUCCAGUCGACAAAGGGUCUCCCUAAUCGAAGUGCUUAGUCUUUCAAUUUCUGAAAGCUCCAACUCCUUUGAACACAGUGAGCUAGAGAACCUACAUAGCUCAAUCACCGGGAUCACCACAUCUUCAGGUAAUAUGUUGCGCACCACUAAAGGCAAAAGUUUUUGCAAGAUUACAUGGAGGUCAUGAGUUUUAAGUCCAGAAAGCUUGCAACCAUUGACAUCCACACAUCUAAUAUUUAUGGCGUAACCAUCAGAAAACUUGACGCCAUGUAAAAAUUUGCAUAGAGUUUCCUUCUCAUCCUUACCAAGAGAGUAUAACGCUGGUGGCAAGGUGUACUUACCCUUUUGAAGCACUGGAUGCUGAUCCUUCCUUAUAUCCAAAUGUUGCAUAUCAAGCCGGGCCUUCUCACUAUCCUUGGAUUUUCCUUCUAACUGCAGCAAUGUCCCCAAUAAGCUCUCACAUAUGUUCUUCUCAAUAUGCAUGACAUCCAAAUUAUGUCGUACAAGUAAUGAUUCCCAGUAAGGAAGCUCAAAGAAAAUACUCUUCUUCCUCCAAUUGUGCCACCUAUUUUCUUCAUAAUGUUGCUUUCUUUUCCUUGUAUCCUUUCCAAAAGUCACUUGCUGGAAACUCUCAUAAUCUUGCUUCACCUACUUACCACUUAGCGGCUCUGGAGCUUCCCUGGUUUCAACCUUAUUAUUGAAGCUCACCUUGUUCCUUCGCCACUUGUGGUUUGAGGGCAAAAAACGGCGAUGUCCCAUAUAGCAAUGCUUUGAACCAUAUUUUAGCCAUAAGUAACCAGUAUGCCUGUGACAAUAAGGACAAGCAAACUUGCCUUUCGUGCUCCAACCAGAUAACAUCGCAUAUGCAGGGAAAUCAUUAAUUGUCCAUAAUAGAAUUGCAUGUAGAGUAAAAUUGUUCUUCUCCUUCUCAUCCCAUGUUUCAACUCCUGUAACCACAACUCAAGUAGUUCAUCAAUGAGAGGCUGUAAAUAUACAUCAAUAUUUUGUCCAGGAGAUUUAGGCCCAGUUAUCAACAUUGAGAUCAUCCAAUAAGGUUGUUUCAAACAUAACCAAGGAGUCAGGUUAUAAGGAAUCAAUAUCACAGGCCAACAAGUGUAAUUGACAUUCAACAUACCAAAUGGAUUGAAGUCGUCCGAUGCAAGUCCCAACCGAACAUUAUGUGCAUCCGAAUCAAAUUUCUUAUACUUUUCAUUCGCAUGCUGUCAUGCCAAUGAGUCUGCUGGGUGCCUGUUGAUAUUUGGUAACGCAAUAAGGAAAUGAUCCGCAAGCGCACGGAUAUCGGUGAGCAUUUCACCCGGGAGGUUUUCCAGAGUAUCAUAUUUAUAUUUUUACCACUGGGAGAAAGGGUGCAUCUGACUAACCAAAUCUAUUGCUACUAUCCCUUUAGGCUACAAAGAAUGUUUCUCGAUGUGAGCGAUGUAUAGAGAAGACUGCAACCGUAGUCUCGUUCUAACCUUGGCAAGGAUGAUCUACUGUUCUAUUGGGGAAGCUUACGGAAUCUAGACACCACAAAGGAUGUUCGACCCGCACCUAUAAACCCUACCCAUCCUGCUAACAAGAUAUGGGAUACAAAGGUAACUCGAAAAUGUCAUGUUCCUUGCUACUACCACGGUCCAGCUAGUCAGGGGAUAUCUAUGAGUACCCUAGCCUAAACACCACGUUUACGCUAGCAAUGAUUACUCUAAUACUCAACCGAUAGAGGAUUAAAGUAAACUCAUAAACCAAAGAACAAUAAAACAAGAACUUACUAGAAUUAGAAGUCGAAUUACUGAAGAAUCUUAGGAGCAAGCCUCGGGUUAGGAGACUUGAUCCCGCAGGUACAACCUCGGAGUAGACACCGACAGGCCAGCCUUCCUCCGAUCUACACCUCCACUCUAUAUCUCUCAAUCUAGUAGAAACUAGAAGAUCUAUUUCUACUUACAUUGGUUGCUAAGCCUAAAAAGAAAUUCUAUUUAGAGAAGAGGUUUUCCUUCGAGGGCACCCCUCAACUCUAUGAUAAACUUGUUCUCCUCCAGGGGCCAGGGGCCUUGCUUAUAUAGUCCUCCUCCUUUGUGCGUUUUUGGUCCAGCAGGCGAUGUGGUACUAUGUUAUCAUUGAUCCUUUAGGUCGGUGGAAUGUCGUGUGCGAAGAGAGUCCUGAUUGGCAUCCAACAGAGGGCGGGCGCCCAGGUCCUCAGGGCGGGCGCCCUGGGCCUGGCCCCUUUCGGCCUGUGCUUUCUUCCCGUGGCUUCUGGAGUCUUCUAGAUGGUAGAAAAUUGCGCGGUGUGUUGAUAUCUCUAUGUAAUCCCGACAUGUGGGCCUUUCUUCCGUAUUUCCUGAUAACCCCCUGCAGAAAUAGACAAACACCAAAACUCAUGGAAUUCUGUCACAUAAAACCCUAAGUCUGGGAGUUGGUUGCAUUUGGAUCCUUUUCUUUAUUUAUUUGAUGAUUAUAUUUGGUACUUAAGGACCGUCAACAACUCCCCCAAGCUUACCUCUUGCUCGUCCCUGAGCAAGGAUGGACUCAAGAGUUUCUGCAGUGGUUUUAUGCCUUAAAGAUACACAUGCGUUUAAACCAGAUCUCAUCUCUAAGUUAGGGUAAACUGUUAAGAUUUAAACUUACUCAUAUUACCUUCCACCAUGGGGCUUGCUACCGUCACUUGUGUCUUGAGCAGUUAAAAGAUAGAAUGGUCAAGUCAAGCGCCAUGUCUCUUAUUCUUGAUCAGCUAUAGCUCUAGAGGUUUUUGUAGAUUUUCAAAUAAAACUCAGAGAUUCUUGUAUGACUCUCUCAGAUCUCUCUUUUAUGGUAUUUAUGGAUCCUUACGAAGGCAGUGAUGAUAUAUGUCUUCUCUCAAAGUAUGUAGUAUUUGUGGUAUGAGGCAUAGUGAUAUUGCCUUCUCUCUCACCCUACUCUAAUAAGGUUUUGAUAUCUGGAGCUCAUAGGUGGGAGACAGAUAAUACAUACUUACAAGACAUUUAUUGUGUAGUCAAACCAUGGAUCCAGAAGAACAAGUCAAAGUCAAAUCAAGAUGUGUAUGUGUGGCGAGUGAAUGGUGUAUGGUAAUGAUGGUGAUAACAAUGGUGAAAGUCUAAUUCUACUUUUGCUCUUUUUAGGGGAUACAUACCUUUCUUGCACUUUGAAACUUUUUGAGGAGAAUGAGAUGCUCUAUAUUUUCUUUUUCUUUCCUCUCAGGUGGGUAUCUUGUACCCCUAAUUCUACUGUCGGACACUUGUCCAUUUUUACCUUUCGUCUCACUUUUUUUUUCUUUGAGGUUCCGGGCACUUGCCCCUUUUUAUUUCCUCGUAUAUUUUUUUUUCUUCUUUUUUUUAGAGCACUCAUCUCCUGAAAUAAUGUAGCAAGUGGUAGUAACCAAAAUAAUUGGAGCAUUUAUUUCACAGGGAAUAACAGGGAUACGAAAAUGUUUUUGGCUAUUCUCUCCCGGAUUAGGAGUAGAAUAAUUUUGGGUGAAUCUGGAGAUGGAAAUGAGUGGAUGUAUGUGGAUGCGUACUUCCGGAAUAGAAGCAGCAUAUACGAGUGAACAUGCAAGUGAAUCUUGAUUUUAACCACAUGACAAGCUCCUAAGGGUCUACACAGCUUGACCACACUCAAUGCUCAUAAGCAGUAAAAAGUAAAUAUAUGGUUCAUAGUCUAAUAAGCAUGUAUAUGUGGCUGUGGUAGGAUUUUAAACUCUCAUCAUACAGGAACUCAUCAUGUGUUAUUUUAAAGAUUUUCAAAGAUAAAAUUCUCCAGAAUUCUAGCAUCUCUAGAAACCUAUACAGCAGCUCAACCUUCCCAUAUCAUAUCCGUUAACGACUUAGACUUUAGAUCAAGUACUCUUCCCACAAGUUCAGGUUUAGAGCAAAUCUUAAUUCAUAACAGUUAUGCCUAAACCUAAGAGAGAUUUCAAUUCUAAGAACUAGUCAUGGCAGAGCAACUAUUCAUCAUUUCCAUGUGAGAGCUUAUCGUGUGGGUUCAUAGCAAACUUUAUUUAUUUAUUUAUUUAGCAAACUAAGCAAAGAUAUAUAUAAAAGCACAAAAUCUUUAUUUGGGUUUUUAUGAUUAUGCAUCUUUUUAUUAUUUGAGUAAAGUAUAAAUGCGAGUAGAAACACUUAGCUCGAUAAAUGGGGG
Molecule: long non-coding RNA, 66273 nt
Filed under: Sorghum bicolor (sorghum)
Lineage: Eukaryota; Viridiplantae; Streptophyta; Magnoliopsida; Poales; Poaceae
Description: long non-coding RNA (SBIC_LNC008391)
Source: RNAcentral